RNAcentral lists this long non-coding RNA (45595 nucleotides) under Nicotiana tabacum (common tobacco). RNAcentral describes it as "long non-coding RNA (NTAB_LNC010923)". The record is from RNAcentral. Lineage: Eukaryota; Viridiplantae; Streptophyta; Magnoliopsida; Solanales; Solanaceae.
UUUUUUUUUUUUAUGUCAAAUUAAUAAUGGUGCAUGUAAAGGAUAUAAAAUAAAAAGACAAUCUUUGAAGGGUCAUUUCAUAAAUUUGAACCAUUGUCAUUAUUUAGUCGUAUCAUUGAGGGUGUUAAAUUCCAUGUAAUGGAAAAAACUAAAAGCAAAAUAUUUGUUUAAGUUUCUAGCUUUACGUGGUGUUUGCAAAACUUCUGCAAAAAUUCGGAGAAGACACUUCCCCCUUUUUCAGCGCACACAACCUGCUCGAGUCUCUAACCAUAAGCAGCACAUUUAUCAGUGACAAUUGGAUUUUCGAUCUGUAUAUUGUACUAGUAAGUAGCCGCAUUUGUUGUUAAAGCACAUUUCCAUUAUUUUAUUUUAGUGAAUUGCUAAAUUCAUAGUAGUAAAUAACUAAUUUAAACCAAGAAUUUGAAGGAAUAAUCAAAAGGAGUUAAUACUUAAUAGUGUUUCGUUGGUUGUAAGGUCUGCUACAUAGUUGCGGAGAUAAAAUUCUGGUCGUUGGUGAGAUUUUGUGUUAUGUAGGACUGGUUGGUACAUAAUUUGGAAAGUGGAUACAGGAAAAAUGAUGUGCCUGAAACAAGAACUUCUGGUUCUUUCUGAAUUGGCACGACAUAGAUCACUGUUACAAAUUGGUUGAAUUAGGCUCGCAGAUUUAGGGAUUAAAGUUUCAAGUUUUCAGAACCCCUUAAUCAUUUUUUUUUAUGACUGAGAAAUCCAUCUGGGGCCAACCCUUAGGACCAACCACCACCUUUGAAACUCGAGGAUAGUGGGCGCGCCUAAUAUAUUCUUCAGGAACUCACCUGUUCAAGAAGAGAAAUACUGUGGCACGAGCAGAGCUCGAGCUGUACAGCAAUGGAGAAUGUAGAACAGAGAAGGAAUUAGAGAGGAAGGGAGAGAGUUUUAUUCAUAUCAGUCAUGAAAUGUACAAUUGAACAAUCAAUGAAAUACAGCUGAUCCCUAUUUACAUUUUCAGUUCUAAGUUCUAACUUCUUCUUAACAGCUAAUAACUUGCCGAUGUGGCUAACUACUCCAACUAACUGAACCGCUGCUCCAACUAACCGAGUUGCCUAUUGAGUCCCAAAUGCUUGUAACACUGCCCCUUUACCCUUCUCUACUUAAAUACCAGACUUAGUUCGCAUGGCGCAGGGCUCGAACCUGUGACCUAAGUCACAAGUCUCUCAACCUUUUACCACUUGAACUAAGCCCUGGGGGGCAACCCCUUAAUCAAAUUUACAAAUUUACGGAGAAAAAAAGAAGAGUUUUUCCCUUUUUUUCCUUUCUCUCACUUUCUUUUCUUUAAAACGAUUUAAUGUUUAUAAAAGUUGUGCUAUUUUACCUAUCCACGGAUAGUGUCUCAUUUGCUUCACAAACUUAUUUUGCUCUCUGUACUUUCGCCCUCGACUUAUAGCAGUGGAUGAAAACAAUAAUGCAACAGAUGAUGCGGAGAUGGUAGAGAGUUCAAGUGGAAAGGAGUUGACCACAAAUUGUGUUGAAGCUGAAGGGCGUUUGAAUAUGGAACCUUAUGUCGGUAUGGAAUUUGAAGCAUAUCCCCUUAACCAAAUUUGCGGAAAAAGAAAAAAAAGAAGAGUUUUUACCUUUUCCUUUCUUCUGCCACUUUCAUUUCUGCAAUGCAAAUACAGAUCUUGAAACGACGAUCUAUUAAAGUUGUGCUAUUGUAGGUAGCAACGGAUAGUUUCUGAUAUUUGUUUCACGAUCUUAUUCUGCUUCUGUAUUUUUCUCGUGUCAUGGCAGUGGAUGAAAACAAUACUACAGCAGAUGAUGGGGAGAUGGUAGAGAGUUCUAGUGGGAAGGAGUUGACCAGAAAUGGUGUUGAAGCUGAAGGGCGUCCGAAUUUGGAACCUUAUGUGGGUAUGGAAUUUGAAUCAGAAGAAGCUGCUAAAGCAUACUAUAGCACAUAUGCGACACAUUUGGGGUUUGUCAUGAGAGUAGAUGCAUUUCGUCGAUCUAUGCGUAAUGGGGAGUUGGUGUGGCGCCGACUUGUGUGUAAUAAAGAGGGUUUCAGUAAAAGUAGACAAAAUCAGAAUGGACAAAGGAAGUGCAGAGCAAUUAGGGAAGGAUGUAAGGCAAUGAUAAUAGUGAAGAAAGAACAAUCUGGAAAAUGGGUUGUUGCUAAAUUAGUGAAGGAGCACAAUCAUCCACUGGUUGUUAAACCUGCUAAUACCCGCAUAGGUUCAAUCUUGUGUCAAACACCGGUAAGUACUUCAAACUAAUUGAUGAAAUUUGGUUGUUGACAUAUAUAAAGACAAUUCUCUCUACACAGCUACUUCUCAAGUUCUCUACACACUGUUUUGUAUGAAAUGCAUUUCUCUUUAUUGCCAUCAUUCCUUUCUCUUUUUCUCACAUUUAUUAGAACAGAAGUCGGCGGUUUACUUUACCGGUUGAGACUUAAGUUGACAACUUCUACUUUCUUGUUCCGCUUUGUUGCUAAAACAUAAUCACCGCUUCCAUGUCUUUCAUCUUUGAGUUCUUACCUGAUGCCAAUAAUGAUCCUCUUCUACAAAUAUUUAGUUCACUGCAAUUUAGGAUGCCUGUUAGUGUGGCAUGACUUUCUCCAUGGAAAAUAAGCUAGUUCUUGCAAUGCAUUGACUGUUACCCCUUCCUUACUAGAUAUUCAUAUUUGCACUAAAUUAUUGAAGCUAUUCAAAGAAUGUCUUGUUGGAUUCUGUUCGGCAAUACUUCUAGCUUUAGGAAUUUAGAGAAACUUCUAGUCCAAAAUGUUUAUCCUGCAAGCAGCUUCCUUGCAAUGGAGCACAAAGGGCUUGUUAGUGAAGGAGAUAUUGCUCUAUUGCAAUGACAUUGUGAAAUCUUUUCUCUUAUCAUAUAAUAAAAGGCUAAACUACAGGAGAACCAAAAAUUUGUUACUGUUUAAAGUCAAACAGAACAGAUGUCUAUUACCGGUCAUGUGAUCUAAGAUUUCUGAAUCAAGAACCAGAGCCAAGGGAAGAAGAAUGCAUGAGAGACUCAACUCUUAUGAUCGAUUGACCGCUUAGAUAAUAGGAUCUGCGGUGUUCUCGAGGUAGCAAAUACACACUUCACGAACUUUGUUGGAAAGUUUUUGGGUGAACAAGGUAAUUGUCGGAAAGUUUUUGGGUGAACAAGGUAAUUUGAACUUUGCUGUUUUCUUCCUUUGGCUCUGGAUUCUUGGUUCAAAAGUUCAGAUCACAUUACUCUCCAAAUAUAAGAUUCACAAGAAUUAAGAAACUUCUUCAGAUCUCUUGUACAAGGAGCCUUAUUAUGUUGUGUUAAUCACCACUUCGAUAACUCUUUUCUAUUGUUUCAAUAUGAUAUCCGUGCUUACACAAUCCCCAGACUUACAUGGCUUCCACCUAAGGCAAGACUGGCCUCCCAACCAAACAUUUCUUUUUCUAUUUUCAAAAAGUCUUUCAAUUCUGUCUGUUUUUGGUGACUGCUAGAGCGACACCACAUCUCUUUAGUGUCUAUCUUUGUUUGUCCGCCCUCAUUCGACCCGAUUCUGUUAUUAGUCCUCAAGAUGAACACAAUGGUGAAGAUCCCCUCUCGAAGUCCUUCGCACAUCAGGCUUGAAGUCUCAGCUCCAUUAGUCUGUCUAUCCCAUGCACCAUCAAGUCUCAAGGACUCUGAUAUCAGUCCAUGUCAGCUGACAUGUUAAGUCAAUAUUCUGCAUCUGUCUGUUCAUUUGUCAACUAGGGUAUUACAGUUGCAGUACUGUUAGUCAAACAAAGGGUGGUCUACUUAACUGGCACUAUAUGUCUGCUAGGUAAUGUUCCUUUCGUUCAGUGGAGGAUGAUACAUUUGUCUAAUGUACAUUCUGGGCCCAACAUUUGCAACAAGUAUGACCCUUUAUAAAUUGUCUUUAGCUCGAGCUCAUGUCCUACCUGGAUCCUCACAGGGCCUUAUUAACAUAGAUUAUAACCUCGCUUUCAGCCAGUAUCUGAGCGCGAAUUCCCCUUCCUUUCUGUUGAUAUAGGCUCAGAUAGCUAUUGGUUGGACCAUAGACAGUGGCGGGAAAUAUGUGAACGUAUGAACCCAAUCCAUGAAGGAUCUAUUACAGAUACUUUCUUUAUCUUAGAUCUGAUAUGUGGCUAUCAUUUGAGGUUCUGAGGGUAGUGCAUAAAUCAUUGGUGACUAAGCGAUCCACUCUCAAAUUGUAUAAGCUUACUUGAUUGAUAUCUCUUAGUUAGUUGCCUCUUGUCAUACAUAUUCAGCUUAAUCAGCUAGAUUUAUUGAUUAAUAAGUCUUUAUCCCGAUAAAUUGAUCUUUUCGUAUUCAACAACUAUGCCUCAAUCCUAAACUAUUUGGAAUCAUCUAUAUUGAUCCUCUUUAUCCAUUCUGCUCCAUUUGGCUAACUUCAUACAAAUAUUCAAUAAUUGUCCUUUUAAGACAAAAUUAGGAAUUCUAUAACACUUGACUAAUUUUCUUUUGAAAAUGUAAUCAAAAUUUAAUUAAAGAAUAGCAUCCAAAGAGUGCAAUGAUGAGUAGUAUCUACUUCCUGUACAUUUUCAUUUUCUCACUGGAAGGCUAAAAGACCUAAACAUAUGUGCUUUAAGUUACAAAUAUUCUCCUUUUUGUCUUCAUAGUAUCUCUGAUUUCUUGUAUUCCAUAUAGUCCACUAUAUUGCUGCUGGUUUGGUGUUCCACAAUUUUUUGUCGUCCUUCGUUAGUCCUCUUCAAUUCCAACAAUGCAGCAGGUCUUUAGGAGAUUCUGGCUCGCACCAUUGAACUUAAAGCAAAUUCAAGAGCAUGUAUCAGAUCUGGUUUGUGAUUCUGCAAUGGAUGAAUGAGUGUUUUGCGUCUUCAUAAUCUUCAUCACACAUUAUACAUCUGUUGCAAAUAGCUAUAUCUUUUUGUAGAUUGUUUUGGGUCCAGCAAGCCUCUCUGGCCACUACCCAUGAAAAACAUUCUACUUUGUAAGGUGCUUUAUUUCUCCAUAUCGAUUUCCAUGGCCAUACUUCUUGUUGUCUAUUUUGAGACAAAACUUGAUAUCCAGACUUCACUGAGAAAAGGCCACGCCCUUGUUCCUUUCAACUAUCCUAUCUGGAAUUAACUGUUGUACUUGAAAACUCUCUAUCAUCUGCAAAAAACUACUCAUUUCCUCCAUUUCCAAAUCACUACACCUUCUCAAGGAAAUGUUUCAUCCUUGGGUACACCGCUAAUCUUUUACAGUCGCAUUGUGAUUAUUUACUAUGUUGAAAAUGGCAGGGAACUGAUUUUUGAGGGGCUAUGUCCUAAUCAUCUUUCUUUCAAAAAUAAAGUUUUUCUACCAUCGUCUACCUUGAUGUACAUGUGUUCUGAGAAUAUAUUCCAUACGUUUCUAACUUUUUCCCAAUUCCCAGCUCCAUAUGAGUGCCUCGAUGUUAUCGUUAUCCAAGAAUUUUCUAUCUUGUACUUCUCUCUAAUCAUCUGCCUGCACUCAUUGCAAAAUCUCCAUAACCACUUCAUAAGAAGACUAUUGUUGUGCACCCUUAGAUUCUUGACUCCCAAGCCGCCUUCCUUCUUGCCGAUGUCACAUUCCCACUUAACCAGAUCGAAAGACUUUUUGUCAUUGUUUCAUUGCCACAAAAAAUCCCUCCUUAAGUUAUCGAUUCUCUUCUCCACCUUGUUUGGUAGAGGAAAGAGCAACAUAGUAUAAGUCGUUAGUGCGUGCAGAAACUAUCAAUUAGAAGCAACCUUCCCCCAAGAUAAGUAUGGUCUUUUCUAAUUUGCUAGUCUCUUUUCACACUUUUCAAUCACCCCUUCCCAAAUAUUGUAUUCUAUGUGAAUGGCAUCCAAAGGCAUACUUUUCAAUCACCCCUUCGUUAAUGUUGGGCACCUCGUUUACUGAAAGAAUCCGACUCUUGGCAUAAUUUAUGUGCAGACCUGAUAUUGCUUCAAAGAGCAAUAAAAUUGUCUUCAAAUAUAGUAUUUCUUCUUCACUUGAGUAUUUUUAACUUACACUUAUAAUUCCAAACCAACUAAAAAGACCCCUAAGCAGACGUCAGACCUAAUGUUGAUGUUCCGACAUGACUAAGUUGUAAUCUCUCAACUAGUGGCUAUCACCCACGUGGCUCCUUUGCUUCUAUUUGUUCUUUCCUUAGUCCACAUCGAUUCUGAUAUUUUUCCAUAGCUUUUCGAAAAUGCUGGUAUAUAAGAUUAUCCAUCCUACUUAAUGCACUUAAAAAUAGCAGAAAUUUCGUGGCAAAAUCGCUGAACCCUUUUGGGCUGGUAGGCUAAAGGCUUGGCUUUGUAUAAUCGCUCUGUCUUCCUUAUUUUAUACUGUGAAAGUCACACAGCUGGAAUAAUUUAAUACUGAUAUCUGCAUAUUGUGCAUGUAUGGUUUUCCACAUGUGGUAACUGCUCUCUUUGGAAUAAUGAAUGCAUAUGGUCAACUGGUGUCAGAGGGGCUCUUUCGCUGUGUGAAUAAAUAGAGCAUUAGUUUGUUAUACAUAUAAUUUGCAGAAUGUAAAUUGAACCAAAAAAAAAUGUGUGCAGUACUGCAGUCGCAGAAACCCAAUGGACACAUGAAUUGCAGUUAAAAUGGCAAAGAUGUGUUGCAAAUUUCUUCUAAUAUUUCCAUUAGUGAUUUAUCACUGCUUUAAGGGUUGUUGCUAAAUUCUUCUAAGAUUCUAUUAGUGCUUUGUCAUUGCUUCCCCCUGCCCUCCGCUCUUUCCUAUUAGGCAAUAUCAUCUUCUUUAGAAGAAAAAACAGUUUGAUUGUGUGAUGUGCCUGUGCUGUUCCUGAUAUUCGGUGGACCAAUUUCAGGAUGAUAAAGAUGUGAAGAUCCGGGAAUUAACAGCAGAGUUACAGAAGGAGCGUAAAAGAUCUGCUGUUUUGCAAGAGCAGCUAGCUAUGGUUUUGAAAGAUAUGGAGGAUCACUCAGAUCAACUAUCAAAGAACAUUAACGACAUUGUUAAAAGUGUGAAAGAAUUGGAAUCAAGAAAAAUUGUCUCUCCAAAUGGCGGAUAGCUUCUGUAGCCUCUUUUCCUUUCUUUCCUUUUUUUCUUUGGGAAAUAGUAACAUAGGCCCGUAAAUCAUUCGAAAGUCUAAGUUAAAUCUUUUGUACUACUUUAGUCCGAAACGAAAUACUUAUACUCCUACUUAGUUGUUGUAAAGUUCCCUUUGUCAUUUACUACUAGGAAGGAGUCAAGUUCAAGGACAUGUUGCCAUUUAAGGGUAUAAUCUAGAGGUCAAUAAAGUGACAAAAAUGUCAGGUGAUUCUUCCUAUCUUUCGAAGUCGUGUUUUGCUUAUAUAUGUUGGGAGUUUUAUUUGGUACGUAAAAAUAAGUACCUCUACUAAGUAGCAUUUAUGUGAGAAAUUAUCUAUGUUUUUUUUAAGUGAACUCUGUUGGGAUUGGAGGUUGGUGUAUGGGAAAUGGAGGGAAGAAAUGUGAAGGGAAACUGAGUUGUUCCCUUAUGCCUUGGAAACGAGCAAUUGUCCCUCAUUGGUAGUGGAAAGAAAAGAGAAUGUGCUUAUAUUAAGAAAGGACUUCCCUUGGUGUUUGGAAAGAAGGUAAGUCUCGCGCCGUCGUCGUCGCUCGGCUUCGAUCAAAGAUCGAUUGAUUGAUUAAUUCAAAUAUUUAACUAUCAAACAUCAACCCGAAAUAACCCAGGAUCUGCGCGGCCCGAUCCAUUUCUUUCCCGGGAUAAUUUUAAAUAUUCCCGCAUGUUCCAACAGCCAUGGCUGUUUCUUAAAGGUUGCAAACUUUCAGAAACAAUGCCAGAAAAUGGCUAUAAAUUCGCUUUGAUUCAAGAUUUUUUCCUUACGAAAUUUUCUGAACUUCAAACUUCUUCUUCUGCACAAAUAAAAUCCAGUGUGAUUUACAUCCAUUGAGUUAUUCGCAGUUCAUCAGCGUUUUAGGUACCGAUAUUCCGGUGAGUCAAAUCGUUCUAUCCUGGGAGGAUAAUAUUCCAACACCUCGGGUACUUGAGGGAAAUAAUUUCUUCAGUGGGCUCAAUUUCAUUCCAAGAUAUAUUUUCAGAUUCUGGUUUCUGAUUAUUUCCAGUUUCUGCUUUACUUCUGUUUUUUCCUGUUUCUGCUUUUGCUACAGGAAAUUUACUGUUUCAUAAUAUUAUAGUUAAUGCAGACUAAUAACAAUUUUAAGGAAAUUAAUUUUAUACUUUAAUCUGUAUUCUGAUUCUGGAGAUUAAAACAUUUGUGGUUUUCUACUCCUUGUAAAUUUUUCUGUUUCUAAUUUGAAGAUAUAAAAACCUCAUCGGAGUAUUAAAGUUCAUAAUUCAGAAACGAUUUGAAGAACAUAAAAAAUUCAUCGUUUUCUUGUGAAACAGUAUAUAAGAACUUCUAUUUUGUUUAUUAAAAGUACUGUUUAUUAUUAAUUAUAGUAAUAUUUACUGUUUUAUUUUUCUGCCAUUAAUUAAACUAUUCUGUUGUUGUUUGUCAACUAUUGACAGUGAGAAAUGGCAAUUGAAAUUGAAAUUCCUUCUGCGAUUAUUGUGGCAACGAUAAUAGCCUCGUCAAGCUGAACUGUUGUGCCACCGGUGGAAAAAUCGGAGAAAUUUUCUGGAGCCAACUUCAAAGGAUGGCAACAAAGAGUGUUCUUUUGGCUUACCACACUUGGUAUGCAGAAAUUCACCAAUGAAGACCCUCCAGUGCCUGCCGCCGAAAUGCCAGAUAAUGAAAAAUUUAUGAUUGUUGAAGCGUGGAAACAAGCAGAUUUUCUUUGCAAAGGCUAUAUGCUAAGUGCUUUGGAGGAUGAUUUGUACAAUGUCUACGGUGCUAUGAAUACUUCGAAGGAAUUGUGAGAUGCACUUGAGAGAAGUAUAAGACUGAAGAUGCGUGCUUGAAAAAGUUUGUGGUUGUCAAGUUUCUAGACUAUAAAAUGAUAGACAGCAAAACCGUUGGAACCCAAGUUCAAGAGCUUUAACUUAUUUUUCAUGACCUUAUGGCUGAAGGUAUGGUAGUGAAUAAAGUAUUUCAGGUGGUUGCAAUGAUUGAAAAGUUGCCUCCUUCGUUGAGAGAUUUCAAAAGGUAUCUAAAGCAAAAGCGCAAAGAAAUGAAGUUGGAAGAUCUUGUGAUUCGUAUCAAGAUGGAGGAGGAUAACAAAACAGCCGAGAAGAAGUCGCAUGGAAAUUCAACGAUUAUGGGAGCGAAUAUCGUUGAAGAGGCUGCUCCAAAAAACAAGAAAAGGAAGAGGUCUUCUCGGCAGACUAAGGAGCAGAAUAAGAAAAAAUUCAACGGCAACUGCUAUAAUUGUGGAAAAGCUGGUCACAAAGCCCCUGACUGACAUCUCCCGAAAAAGGAUAAGAAAAAGGGGCAGGCCAACAUAGUGGAGAAGAAUAAUGACAUUGAUGAUCUGUGUGCAAUGUUUUCGGAAUGUAACUUAGUUGGAAAUCCGAAGGAGUGGUGGAUUGACUCUGGAGCCACUCGAUAUAUUUGUGCUGUCAAAGAAGCAUUUGCUACUUACUCUACUGUUGGUCCCGAAGAAGAGCUUUCCAUGAAAAAUACUUCAACAACCAAGAUUGAGGGUUAUGGGAAGAUAUUCCUGAAGAUGACUUCCAACAAGGUGUUAACGCUCAACAACGUUCUUCAUGUUCCUACUAUUAGAAAAAAUUUAGUUUCAACUUCCCUACUUGUUAAGAUUGGAUUCAAAUGUAUUUGUAUAUGACAAAGUUGUUGUAAGCAAAAAUAAUAUGUAUGUUGGAAAGGGCUAUAUCAUAUAGGGCCUUUUCAAACUUAAUGUAAUGGUUGUUGACAGUAUUAAUAAAAAUUCAGCUUCUUCUUAUUUAUUGGAGUCAAAUGAUUUAUAACAUAUUUGCUUAGGACAUGUCAAUUACAAAACCUUGCGGAAGUUAAUUAAUUUAGAAAUAUUGUCUAAAUUCAAGUGUAAUAAAUCAAAAUAUCAAAUAUGUGUUGAAUCUAAGUUUGUCAAACAUCCUUACAAGUGUGCUGAAAGGAAUUGAUNNNNNNNNNNNNNNNNNNNNNNNNNNNNNNNNNNNNNNNNNNNNNNNNNNNNNNNNNNNNNNNNNNNNNNNNNNNNNNNNNNNNNNNNNNNNNNNNNNNNNNNNNNNNNNNNNNNNNNNNNNNNNNNNNNNNNNNNNNNNNNNNNNNNNNNNNNNNNNNNNNNNNNNNNNNNNNNNNNNNNNNNNNNNNNNNNNNNNNNNNNNNNNNNNNNNNNNNNNNNNNNNNNNNNNNNNNNNNNNNNNNNNNNNNNNNNNNNNNNNNNNNNNNNNNNNNNNNNNNNNNNNNNNNNNNNNNNNNNNNNNNNNNNNNNNNNNNNNNNNNNNNNNNNNNNNNNNNNNNNNNNNNNNNNNNNNNNNNNNNNNNNNNNNNNNNNNNNNNNNNNNNNNNNNNNNNNNNNNNNNNNNNNNNNNNNNNNNNNNNNNNNNNNNNNNNNNNNNNNNNNNNNNNNNNNNNNNNNNNNNNNNNNNNNNNNNNNNNNNNNNNNNNNNNNNNNNNNNNNNNNNNNNNNNNNNNNNNNNNNNNNNNNNNNNNNNNNNNNNNNNNNNNNNNNNNNNNNNNNNNNNNNNNNNNNNNNNNNNNNNNNNNNNNNNNNNNNNNNNNNNNNNNNNNNNNNNNNNNNNNNNNNNNNNNNNNNNNNNNNNNNNNNNNNNNNNNNNNNNNNNNNNNNNNNNNNNNNNNNNNNNNNNNNNNNNNNNNNNNNNNNNNNNNNNNNNNNNNNNNNNNNNNNNNNNNNNNNNNNNNNNNNNNNNNNNNNNNNNNNNNNNNNNNNNNNNNNNNNNNNNNNNNNNNNNNNNNNNNNNNNNNNNNNNNNNNNNNNNNNNNNNNNNNNNNNNNNNNNNNNNNNNNNNNNNNNNNNNNNNNNNNNNNNNNNNNNNNNNNNNNNNNNNNNNNNNNNNNNNNNNNNNNNNNNNNNNNNNNNNNNNNNNNNNNNNNNNNNNNNNNNNNNNNNNNNNNNNNNNNNNNNNNNNNNNNNNNNNNNNNNNNNNNNNNNNNNNNNNNNNNNNNNNNNNNNNNNNNNNNNNNNNNNNNNNNNNNNNNNNNNNNNNNNNNNNNNNNNNNNNNNNGUAUGUUGGCUAAACUCCUCUUUUAGAAUUGAACCCCACAAUGGCCUUGUAAGUCCCGUGUUACUCAUUAUAAAUUAAUUAUUCCGAAUAAGCCUUGUGUCAAGAGAUAUAUGCGCUCAAUUUUUAUUCCAAAUAUACUUGUUAUGUUGAGUUACAAUUUGAGAAGGUGAUUAAGCAUUGGUUGUGGGUUAAUAUAUUAUGAUUUGAAAACGUGAUUCUAAUGAAAACUAGCAUGUCGAAUUGUGUAAGAAAUCACAUGUGCUUAACACCUUUAAUUUGGUCAGUUGCUCAAAUGUAUAUUUAAAGUCUUGAGUAGAAAUGCCUUGUUGUUGACAAUCUAUAAGGAUGCUUGAAAAUGAAGGAAAUAAUUUGGAGAUAUAAGGUGUGGCCAACAUGCCAAGAAUGAAAGUUAUACUUGUGGCCAAUGGUUCCGAGAAAAUAAAAUGAUGUGAGAAAGGUUAUGAAAUAGGCCUUAAUCCAACUGUUCCAAAUUGACUUCCAAAAUAGAUGUACCUAAAAGCUUAUGUGUUCAGGUCAUGCCCAAAUGUGGCCGUCUUAAUUAAUUCUAUAUCUUGUAAGUAUUUUCAAAGUGUUUUGAGAUCUUAUAUAUAUAUUCAUAAGUUGAAAUGGUGUAUUGCCCUUUUUGGGAAAAAGUAUUUCAAGAAUGAGUGAUGUAUUAAAGAUUUUCUAUUGUGACUUAAUUAUGUUAUACCCCCUUCUUGGGAAGAAAACCUUGUAUGAAAUCAAUGUAAUCAAACACUUAUUUCUCAUAUGAUGAAACCUUAUGAACCUACUCUUUCUAAGGCCAAACGUGCCAAACAGUUGAUUGGAAGAGAACCCCUUUUACAAACUAUUAUCGUUUUGAGAAUUUAGAGUUGUGGUAUUGUGAUUAUACCUCCACCCACAUACAUUGGGGUGAGGCGGCGGGGCCGUUUUGUUUAGAGAUUGUAGUAUUGUGAUACACCUUCACCCGCAUAUAUUGGCGUAAGGAGGCAGGUCUGCUUUGUAUAGAGAUUGUGGUAUUGUGAUAGACCUCCACCCGCAUAUAUUGGGGUAAGGCGGCAGGGCCGCUUUGUGUAGAGAUUGUGAUACACCUCCACCCGUAUAUAUUGGGGUGAGAUGGUAGGGCCGCUUCGUGUAGGAAUUGUGGUAUUGUGAAAUACCUCCACCCACAUACAUUGGGGUGAGGCGGCAGGGCCGCUUUGUGUAGCGUUGAGGGUGUCAUGAUUUCACCUCCACCCGCAUACAUUGGGGUGAGGCGCCAGGGCCGCUUUGUGUAAAGGUAGUGGUAGAGGAUCCCCGACUUAAGAAUUUAUAAAUGUUAUUGAAAGCUUUUAAUAAAUUUAUUGUGGCUUUAACGGCUAACUAAACCUUUUAUUGUUACCAUGAUUCAUCAUAUUCAUAUUGUAUUUCUAAGUCCUUGAAUAGGUGUUUUGGUUUUCAUACUAGUACUAUUCUAUAUGUACUAACGUCCCAUUUUGCCGGGGCCGCUGCAUCUUCAAUGGAUGCAUGUGGUUUGUCAGCGGGCGGUUUUGAUCCUCGUUAGUAGUUACUCUCUAUUCAGUAGAUUUUGGCGAGCCCUACUCUAUUCCAAGUUUCAUGUCAUUUGACGUUGUACUUUAUGUUUUGAGGUAGAAUUGUGGCCUUGUUGCCGGCACUUCCAUUCUUCUUUUCUGUUGUACUUAGAGGCUCCGUAGACAGAUUGUGGGUGGUAUUCGAUGUUGGAAAUUGAACUAUAAAUAUUGGUAUUUGGCAAACAUGUUUUUCAUUACAUCUAUAAACUUGUAAUAUUUUGGGAAUCAUAAAUGAAUAUCCUUUGAGUAAUGGAAAAAGAAUGAGGAAUAUUUGAUUUUUUCUCAUGUCUAUCACCUGUAUUGAUUCUUAUAUUGUUAAUGGGUAAGAUUGGGUAGAAGGCAUCUAGUAGGCUUGCUCGGCCGGGGUAUCUCGGUUGAGCGUCGGUCGCGCUCCCGAGGUCGGGGCGUGACAAUUGCGAAAAGAAAAAAAUCAAACAUUAAAGGAAAUGAUGAAUUCUUUAUUAAUAAGUUCCGGCUAACCGCAAAGUUUGUGGGGGAAGCUAUCCUUAUAGCUAACUAAAUACUCAACAGAGUACACCACAGCAAAACACAAUCUAUUCCAUAUGAAAAAUAAAAAGAAAAAAAACCUAACUUGAAAUAUUUCAAAGUGUGGGAGUGUUUAGCAAGGUACAAGUACCUUUACUCAAAAGGGUAAAAAUCGGACCAAAAAAUAUGGAUUGUGUUUUUAUUGGAUAUGCUACAAACUGUAAAGUAUGUCGGUUUUUGGUUCAUAAAUCUGAUAAUCCCGAAAUUCAUGUUAAUACGGUAAUUGAAUAAGAGAAUGCUGAAUUCUUUAAAAAUAUUUAUCCGUAUAAAAAUGAAUGCGAGUCGUCAAGUGAAAGAUCUAAACGACCACAUGAAGAACUAAAGGAAAAUACUCCAAGUGAAUAGGAUCUAAGGCGUAGCAAACGUCAAAGAACAUCUACUUCCUUUGGACCAGAUUUUGUGACAUUCUUGCUUGAAAAUGAGCCUCAAACUUUCAAAGCAGUUAUGUCAUCUUCUGAUUCAGCAUUUUGGAAAGACGUAGUCAAUAGUGAGAUUCAAUCGAUUUUAGAUAAUCAUACAUGGGAAUUGGUUGAUCUUACUCCAGGAAAUAAGCCUUUAGAUUCGAAAUGGAUCUUUAAGAGGAAAAUGAAAGUUGAUGGCACUAUUGACAAAUAUAAGGCAAGACUUGUUGUCAAAAUAUUAUAGACAAAAGGAAGGCCUUAAUUACUUUGACACUUAAUCGCCAGUAACGAGGAUAACAUCUAUUAGUGUGUUAGUGGCAUUGGCGAUCGUGCAUGGUCUUGAAAUUCAUCAAAUGGAUGUUAAAACAGCUUUCUUAAAUGGAAAUUUGGAGGAAGAAAUUUACAUGAAACAACCUGGGGGUUUGUGGUUCCUAGUAAAGAAAAGAAAGUGUGCAAACUUGUUAAGUUGCUUUAUGGACUUAAACAAGCACCCAAACAAUGGCAUGCUAAAUUUGAUCAAACAAUGUUGGCAAAUAGUUUUAAAAUCAACGAGUGCGACAAAUGUGUUUACAUUUAAAACACUCCAGGUCAUGAAUUCAUUAUUUGUUUAUAUGUUGAUGGCAUGUUGAUAAUGAGCAAAGAUAUGGCAGAUAUAAAUGCUAUUAAGCACAUGCUGGCUAGCAAAUUUGACAUGAAAGACUUAGGAGUUGUUGAUGUGAUCUUAGGAAUCAGAACUCACAAGACUCCACAAGGUCUAGCAUUAUCACAGUCUCACUACAUUGAAAGGUACUUAACAAAUUCAAGUAUUUGGAUUUCAAGAUUACCAAGACUCCAAUUGACGUGAGUAAUGCACUUUAAAAGAAUGAAAGUAAAAGUGACUCACAAUUGGACUAUGCAAGAGUAUUGGGAAGUUUGAUGUAUAUCAUGAAUUGUACGUGACCAGAUAUAGCAUGUGCUAUUAUAAAACUGAGUCGGUUUACAAGUUCUCAAUCAAUUACAUUGGAUGGUAAUGAAACGAGUUUUGGGGUAUCUGAAACAUACCCAAGACUAUGCUCUGAACAAAUAUCCCUCCGUGAUUGAGGGACAUAGUGAUGCAAAUUGGAUUACCGGAUCAUCUGAAGUUAAAUCCACGAGUGGAUAUAUUUUCACAACUGGGGGUGGAGUAAUGUCUUGGAAAUCAUCCAAACAUACGUAAGUCGCCUGUUCUACGAUGGAAUCUGAAUUCAUAGCUUUAGACAAGGCCGGUGAAGAAGCUGAAUGGCUCCUGAAUUUCUUGGAAGAUAUUCCAUUUUGGCCCAAACCUUUGGCACCUAUAUGUAUACAUUGUGAUAGUCAAGCAGCAAUAUGUAUGGCAGGGAGCGUUAUGUAUAACGAAAAAUCUCGUCACAUACGGCGGAGACACAAUACCGUUAGACAACUACUCUCUAGUGGUGUUAUCACGAUUGAAGUCAAGAGAUAACGUGUCGGGCCCACUUACAAAAGGCCUAUCUAGAGAGUUAGUUGGAAGAUCAUCGAAGGGAAUGGGGUUAAGACCUAGGAAGAGUCAUCAUGGCGGUAACUCUACCUAGCAGACUGGAGAUCCCAAGAGUUAGGUUCAAAGAGAUCAAACAAAGUUAUGAAUGGCAGAGUAAAGCAUUAAGGAUUUUUGAUGAGUCAAUAAAGCUUAAAGCUUCUUAAUGAUUUGCUAAGUCUGGCAGGAAAUGACCAGAUAGUGUGUCUAUAGGACUACACGUUUAGAAAUCACCUAUGUGGGUGCGAAGUGUAAGCCGCUUCAAGGGAAAUGAAAGUAAAUGCCCAUUCUCUAUGCACUCAUGAAAUCAGGCGAUGUUCAUGGCUGAAACGAACACAACCAUAAGAAUCAUAGAUGGUUAAGGGCUAAUUGUGUGACUUAUGUUGUCUAGGUAUAUGACAAAGCUCGGCGGUUCAAAGAUAUCAAAUCUAACGAUUAACCGAGUAUAUCCGAUAUAAGUUCACUACAGAAAGUUCGAAGGCUUGCUCGGCUCGGCUUCAGCUUCGAUCAAAGAUUGAUUGAUUAAUCUUUUUGGAUAAAUUUUCUUUUAAUUAUUUAAUUAAUUAAUUUAAUUAUUAAAUCCAAUAUUUAAUUAGCAAAAGUCAACCUGAAAUAACCCAGGAUCCACGCGCGCGACCCGUGACCCGGUUCAUUUCUUUUUCGGAUAAUUUUAAAUAUCCAUGCUUGUUCAAACAUCCAUGGUUGUUUCUGAAAGGUUGCAAACUUUUAGAAACAGUGGCAGAAAAUGGCUAUAAAUUUGCUUUGAUCCAAGAUUUUUUCCUUACGAAAUUUUCUGAACUUCAAACUUCUUCUUCUUCUGCAUAAAUAAAAUCCAGUGUGAUUUACAGCCAUUGAGUGGUUCGCAGUUCACCAGCGUUUUAGGUACCGAUCUGGUGAGUCAAAUCGUUCUAUCCUGGGAGGAUAAUAUUCCAACACCUCGGAUAUUUGAUGGGAAUAAUUUCUUCAGUGGGCUCGAUUUCAUUCCAAGAUAUAUUUUUAGAUUCUAUUUCUGAUUAUUUCCAGUUUCUGCUUUACUUAUGUUUUUUUUCCCUGUUUCUGUUUUUGCUAUAGAAAAUUUACUGUUUCAUAAUAUUAUAGUUAAUACAGAUUAAUAACAAACUCAAAUUAAAGACAAAAUUGAGUUAACUCUAAUAAAGUAGUAUCUUUCCGUCCCAAUUUAUGUAACACAUUUUGCUUUCUGAGAUUCAAAUUUUUUAAUUAUAAUAGUUUAUUUGAACAUAGAAUUUUAAGUUUUUCAAAAUAAAAUUUAGAUAUUUAAAAAUAACGUAAAAAAUAAUAAUUGCGGUCAAUUUGACUCUCGAAAUCUAAAUACCGUCUAAACCUAUUACAUGGAUAAUUAAACCAAAAAUCAGAAAAUUGCUCUCUCACCAAUGUAUAAAUUCGAAUGUAUUACAUCGCCUUUAAGGGGUCACAUAUGAAUAUUUGGAAGCAGCAGAUAAACGAAAAAAACAAAAGAAAAAGUCACUGUAGCGGCACAUGACCUCGAUGAUGUCGUAGGUAAAGCAAUUUCUCUCUCUUUCCUCUUCUUAUCAUUCAUCGUUUUAGUCGAAAGAGUUGGUUAGCACUUCAGAAGUUGAAUUGAGUUUCUUUUUUCACUCUGUGGACGCCAAUUCUUGAAACAUUAUAGACCCACAAACUCCUUUCUUGCUCCUGUGUUCUUAAUUAGAUUUAGAGACCCAACAACCCCCCCUGAUCAGUCAGUAAAUAAUGAAGCUGGAAUCUUUUGGAUAUCCAAGUAAAUAGGGUUUACUUUGUCCACUUAUCAUUUUUUUUCAGUCGAGUCCUUAUUUUGUUAGCUUGAGCUUGAAUAAUCCCCAGAUUGAUAUAGGAGGAAUAUUUUAGUUUUAUGACUCCUUUUUAGAAUCUUUUGUGGAUGUAUUAGGCUUUGUUGCUACAGUUAAAAUUUAGCUCAAGAAACUCAACUAGGUGGACUUGGAGGUAUUUUACUUGGUUGAGGUGAGAAUGGUGUGAAUUAAUGAGUUGUUGUAAUUGUGUGUAUUGACCAUCUUAAAAGGGAAAAUGGACGGUUCUGUGCUGGCAUCUUUUUCCCCUUUAAUGAAUAAGAAUGUGAAUAUUAUGCAAGCUUGUGUUUGGAGAAAACUUUUGAGUUUGUUUUUCUUGUAACAAUUGUGCUCUGAGUUGAGCUUUUAGCUUUCAGUGACCUAAUUUUGAUGCAUUUUCCUACUUCUUUGCUUGUUUAAUUUGAUUAAUGAAGGGAAACAGAAAAGUAGAACAAUGCAUAUAUUGCUUUUGUUCAGUUCAAGCUUUUGAUAUCUGACGGCAGGACCCCGUAGGAUAACCAUAUGAAUCUAUUCAAGAAACUUUUGUGCGUGGUGGUUAUUUCCUAAUCAAUUUUAAUACAAUUAUCAUGUGUGCACACUACUUCCUCCUUGUACUUGACUUGAUUAUCAGUAAUACCCUGAAACGCUUCUAGAAAGUGUAUGUGAAGGAGUAUGAUCAUCAUUAGAUUUUUGUCAUGUCUGAUAGGCAAUCCUUGUUACUUGAAUCCUUCUUAGUUAGUCCUCAAGUUUCAGAAAACAGGAAUGACAGCUUGAUGGAUGAUGCAUAUCAGAUAUAUUUUCCUCAUUUCACGUACUAUUUGAUUCUCCAAGAGCAUAAAAUGCUUUAUUUUGCAAUUUCUUUUCCUUGUUGUUUUCUACGUCUGUGGUCAAAAUGGUGCACCAUGAGUCCAUGAGAUUGUUUCUGUUUAUACUUAUUUCCAUUUUGUGCUUUCCUCUUGAUUCCUUUUUCUGCUCCAAAUAUGCAGGAAUGAUGGAUUAUGGGCUUUUAUAAGUCUGAUGUGGCAAUGGGGAGCCCAUCUAGCCCUGCAUUUGGUUUGGAUGAAAGAAAAGAUUUUCCACCAGUUGAGAGCAAUGAUGAUCAUGGUUAUUUUGACGAAGAGCUCACAACAGACAUGGAUAUGUAUGUCGCUGAAGAUGAUAAAUGCUUAGGGCAUUCAAAUGGAGAACAAACAUCAAGUGACAAUGCUAUUGAGCCACAGAUUGGCAUGGAAUUCAACUCCAGAGAUGAUGCUAGAGACUUUUACAUGGCAUAUGGCAGGCGGAUAGGCUUUACCGUGCGGAUUCAUCAUAAUCGGCGGUCUCGGAUCAAUAAUGUGGUUAUUGGACAGGAUUUUGUCUGCUCGAAAGAAGGUUUUCGUGAGAAAAAAUAUAUUCAUAGGAAAGAUAGAGUUCUUCCUCCGCCACCUGCAACUCGAGAAGGCUGUCCUGCCAUCCUGAGAGUAGCUUUAAGGGAAAGCAAGUGGGUUGUCACAAAAUUUGUAAAAGAGCAUAAUCACGCUUUAAUGUCGCCGAGUAAAGUUCCGUGGCGAGGAUCUACAAGAAAAUUGGUCAGUCAGGUAAAUGUUAAUAAGCAACUAGGCAUUCAACAGAAUUACGUAUGAUGCAUUUGACAAGUUACGGUUCUACUUAUGAAUGUCAAUACACAUACUAAGUUGACUGACAGCAGACCAGUUUCCCACGGAAUUGACAUUUGAGUUCAUGUACUACAGCAAGCAUACUUACAUAUACUCUGUUAUAUAUGUUUGAAAGAGGGAGAAUGACUCGAUUGGCAGGCCAAUUUAUCUGUGGUCUAUUUUGUUUUUGCAACAAGGAAAUGCACUAUACAACAACAACAACAACAACAACAACAUGCCCAGUGAAUUCCCACAAAUGGGGUCUUGGGAGGGUAAGAUGUAUGCAGCCUUACCCCUACCCUGGAAGGGCAGAGAGACCAUUUCCGAUAAGGAAAUGCACUAUGUUGGAACUUAAUCAUUCUGCUAUUGCCCCUACUCAAAGCUGUUGAAAAAUCUUUUGCCUAAGAUGAUCUCUUUAUUUCUGUGGAAGAAUUCACCACACGUGAUCUUAUAUAUAAUUUUUUCUUCAAUGACUUACGAUUUUGUUUGUUUUAGGAUGAGAAGGAUCAAAGAAUUCGAGAGCUGACCCUUGAACUUUAUAAUGAGAGGCAGCGAUGUAAGCGGAGGUGUGCAGCUUACCAAGAACAACUACAAACAUUGUUGAAAUUCAUUGAGGAUCACACUGAUCAUUUAUCAAGAAGUGUUGAAGAAGCAGUCCAGCGAGUGAAAGAACUUGAGAAUGAACAGCUAGAGGAAUCAGAUUAGCAUACCAAUAGUUUGUACACAUUUUUUUCUCUCUCUGAUUCUAACUUGUUACUCUAGGACAAAUAGGAGUUAUUUUGAUCUGGGGUUGAGCUACUUGAAUGUAAGGGCCCAAGAAACUCCGUAUUGUAUCAUCAUUUGCAGGAAUUCAGUUGUAAUUGAAUAAAUAAAGUAGCCUUAAAGACAAAGACGUUUUCAUCUGUUCAUCAAGUUCUUGGGACAUGCUAAAGCCUAAUAGAUUAAGACUAGGGGGAAACGAAAAGAAAUAAAGGGUGUGUUUGGUAUGGAGGAAAAUGUUUUCUUAGAAAAUGUUUUCAUGAAAAAUGAGUGUUGUUAUCACUUAUUUUCCCUUGUUUGGUUGGUGAGGGAAAACCUUUUUGCGAAAAAUAUUUUCUAGUGUUUGGUUAGAGAGUAGAAAAUAUUUUUAGAAAAAUAAUUUUUUAUACUACUCACCUCACCAUCUCCCCUUCCCCAAGUCCCUAUGUUUCCUGUGCUCUCCCCCCAAAUACCUAAUAUUUUCAUGACUCUAUUUUCUUCAAGAAUUUAAUUAUUCUUUUAAAAAUUCACACAAACCCAAAGGAAUUAAUGUGUUGCUUUACUAUUUUACGCAAAAAACAACGUUGAACUUGUGCUCCAGAACUAAAAAAAUUACUCUUUUUUGGUUGAAAAAGAAUAUACUAUUUCUACAACAUAAAAAUAAAGUAUUCAUUUUGUUAAAAUAAAAAAAAAUAUUUUUUCUACAUCAUGAAAAAAAAUUACUUAUUUUGUUGAAAUAAAAGAAUACUUUUUGCUACAUCAUUUUGUUGAAAUGAAAGAAAAUAUAUUUUCUACAUCAUGAAAAGAAAGUACUUUUUUUGUUAAAAAAAAUAUCGUGAAAAAAAAAUACUCAUUUGUUGAAAUAAAUAAAAAAUACUCUAUCUAUAACAUGAAAAGAAAUUACUAUAAAUAAUAUUUCUAUUUAGGUGGGGGUGAGUUGGUGGGGGUUGGUGGGGGUGGGGUGUGAGGGUGAGUUGGUGGGGAUGGGGGAAGGUUAGAAAAGAGUUUUGGAAAAUAUUUUUAAAAAUAUUUAAGUCAACCAAACAUGAAAAAAUUGGAAAAUCGUCUAACUUCAUUCAAAAAUGAAACUUUAAUUUUUAUAGAAUCAAAUUCUAAAAUCAUUUCUAUUUUGAUCAUUUCUUAGAUUCUGUUGAAUUGUAUCGAAUCCAUUUUAGAUUUUAAAGCGAAGAGUUACCUUAUCAAACUAGAAAACUUUUUCUUUUUACUUUAAUUUAAGUUUAACACAUUAGAUNNNNNNNNNNNNNNNNACAUUAGAUUCAGUAAUAUAUUAAUUCACAUAAUAUCUUGAAUGAUUGAGAAGAGAAAAAGUUAUCACACAAUCGCUUGAAAAAAUCUUUUUUUUUGGUUUUCGUUGGAGACCAUUGCUUUGCUUUCUUUUGAACGUGCAUAUAUUGAGAGAGGAAAGAGGAGAAAGAUUAUUAUUUAUUAUAGAAGUUUUGAGAACACACGUGCGAGGUGCAUUGACAAUCAUUAUGUCAUUUCUCUAUUUUUCACCAAAGACAUGGAAUGCAGACCAUGAUUGGAUAUACAUUAAUAGAAACCAAAGUCAUGAACCCUGUUUUUACAGUGACCUCACUUUCAGUCAAUUGAGACUGAAAAAUGUACAGUAUACUGUAAAUGACGAGAUACAAGGCUUUGAACAACAUCUAACUAUUUUUGGUGUUGGCAGUAAAGACAGAAACAGGCUUGGUACUGCUUCUCGCAAUACCAUUGAAAAGCAUUUCCAGCUGAAACAUGUGAAUCUCUACUCAAGCUUGGAGAGGAGGUAAUCAACCUUUGAAAAUAAGUAGUAGUCUUAUUCCCAUACAAAUCCCCUCCUAAACAAGACAAAAAUCUAACCACAAUGAAAUUACACCAACCAAUUAACUGAUUAUACAAACAGCAGGCGCUCUGUUAUUCAAGGCCUUUCAGCUCCACCCUGGCUUCUGUGUCAAGUCAAAUGAGUGCCAAUCUUUGUAAUCCUUAUUCACCACAAGAACUUCACAGCCUGCUCCUCUCCACAGCCAAUCUCUGUAUUCUUGUUUAAGACCAAUAUGUAAUCAGAUUGUACACCAUCUUUCUACUUCAGUAUUUUAAAAAGAACUUGGACGGAUGCAAACAAACCGCGGAGAUGAACCUUACUAAAGUUGCUUCGUCUCACCCGUCAGAAGAACUGUUAACUUAAUACUGGUCAAUGAACCCUGUUACAGUACAAAACCCAUUGGGGAAGAGGGAUUCCUUGGUUAGAGGCUCUGCUCAAUAGUUAAUUUGUAGCCUGAGAAUACCAAGUAAAGGUGAUUGCUUACGCAUAUACAGGCAUUCAUCUCUUCUUUUUCUUCAAAAGUGAUGUGGCUUGCAGAAUCAUCCUAUCAACUUCAUCAAGAUAUGGUGUGUCCGCAUCUUUACACAGAGAUUUCUCUUUCCUCGAGUUGGAAGAUAUCUGACGCAAAUGCUCCUCAAAAUCCUGUUCUUCUCCGUUGCUGUGUACAUGAAAUUUUUCAAACUCAUCCAAAUAAAGAGUUUCCUCAGUUUUGUCCUCAUCCUCUUCAUCAGAGUCCAUUUCAAAAAUAUCUGAAAGAUCUUCCGAAUCUGAAAUGAUAUCUGAAUAUGUUGUGGACUCACCUUCUUCGCCUUUUUCAUCAUUUUCAUUCAUCAACUGUUUGAGCUUGUUUGAUGCCUCAGUUUGAAGGACUGAACGGUGUUCAGGGUUAGAAUUCUCAGAGCCAAGCAAGUGUUUUUCUUCAGGAGUACCACUUUUAUUUUCAGCCUGCAGUCGAAGCAGCUCAAGAUCCUGCUCAAGCCGCGGAAUGUAUCUCCUGACAGCUCUCAGGCCAUCUCGAUAUUUAGAUUUAUCCAAGGCCUGUAGACAAGGAGUAAUAACAAGAAAAACAGAAAGGAGGGGUUAGAGGCCGAUACAUAAACAGUUAAUGUUCAGAAAAUCCAGCAGAGGCAAACACUGCAAAAUUGCAUAAUAAAAAAAUAAUAGAUGCCUAUGUAGAACCUUUUUCCUAGAAAGAGUACUUCUUGGAGACAUUAUUUCUGUUGGAGGUUGGGAGUAAUUCUUCCCCCUGUACAUUAUAAUGGUGUUGUCAUCCUGCAUAUCAAGAACAAUUCCACCACUUAAUCUUGCAAGCUCUGCAGCAAUUUCCUUAACCUCCUCCCGAGAGAAUGUUUUGACCACCACUUUUAGAGUUUGGUGCUUCUUCCAGUGCAGGUGCAUGUUAAGGAUCACACCUUGGUAUAUCCCACGUCUUCCAACUGGCACAUAAUUCUUGCACUUCUCUCCCAUUUUCAGAAAGUAAAAGUGUUCUUCUGGAGUCAGUAUUUCCGGGUCAUGGGUAGCUUCUGACUUUUCCUUGGGCUCAACUUUCUUAAGAGCUUCAAGAAGCCUUUCCUCUUUCUUCCGUGCCUAAGAAGAUUAGAAUUGGCAACCUGGUAAGGACUUCAAUUGUAAUUAAGGGUACAUAUAUAACAAAGAGCAAGGUCCAUCACCUCCACAUCAUCAUGACAGUUAUAUUGUAUCACGAAAAACCAACAUGUAAUGAGUCAUAUAGUGGUUAAAUCUUUACCAUAUCCGCGAAAGAGAAGAAACUCGGAGUCAUAACAAAUACAGUUAUACCCUUGCAAAAGCUGAUAUUUUUAGUUGGACCGAAACCAUGCCAUACAUUUUCCAAUCAAUGUAAUAAUGGCAUCUUGCCUGGUGUCGAUGAAACCUAUCCCAUCCAAUAAUUAUCAAUAAAAGCGGACCUUAAUUGGCCACGAAACUCCUCUUGAUAUCAGAGACAUUUUUUUAUGGCGGUGGUAUUUGGACCGCUUGCACGCACCCGACUAAUUCCACUGGGCACCUGCACCUCCCACCAACAUGGGUAGCUCUACCUACCAAGGCUUGGAUAGAUCGGAAGAAAACACACUUUUUAUUCACCUAGUGUUACCUUACUCAAAAAAAGAAAUCACCUAGUGCCAUUGCCUCUGCUGAGAUUUGAACCUGAGACAGCGUAGUUCUCCCACUUCAUUUAUCACUAGGCCACACUCGUAGGCGCCAUUCUUUUCUUCUUCUUUUUUCCAAACAUUGAUUUUAAUAGAAAUUAAUUUGUCAAGCGUGAUUAUUCUCAGCCUAAACCACAGCGUCCACCAUUCAAAGAACUUUUACAUUUUUAUACGUGUUGUUUCAUUCCCCUUCCCCUGGUUUAAAGUAAUUGAUUGAUCUUAUUAAAUAAGCUUGACAUGGAUCACAUAAGAAUGGCUUACGAAAUUAUUGUAGGGACAAGGGACAAGAUGAAAACAGUUUACAUAGGCAAAUUGACCAUGUAGCUCAUAGUUCACACAAGACACUGCCUAUUGCCCAAGUUUCUGCUUAUGUUAUAGCAUUUUCCAGUGCGUUUGACUGCUCAAUUAGAUGUAACAAUGAAGUUUCCCUAUUAAAUAAUAAAUUUAUACUGUAAACCAGCAACCUUUUGGAGCAAUGUCAGGUUAUACCCUCAACUUAUCUCAACAAUAGGGAGGAUUUAAUUAUAAUUGUAGGGUGAUAUAGGUUUCAAAGAUAACAUGCGAGGUGGUAUAAUUUCAUGACUAAGACCAUAAACGGGGUCAUCGUCCUAGUCCGCCUAAGACUUCCCUAUGUGGAUUAGAGCACGACAUAACUCGAACAUUCAUUAAACAUAAACUAGAUUAAUACUGAAAGUCUUCGGUGGUGGUAUCAAGUGCUCGAUGAAAUAGCUGAGGUGCACUCAAGAUUGCCCCAGCACCACCGCUAUAAAAAUGUUAAUACUAAAAGUCCUCAUAUAAUUCAACCUCAAGAAUAAAAAUGUUAUACUAAAAGUCCUCAUAUAAUUCAACUAGCAGACAUGGAAACAACUGACUAAACUUGUAGCAACUCCCUGUGGAAGAUUGUCAUUUAACAAAACUAAUCUAAUACAUUGAAAGUUAAGUAUUUCUUUAAAUAAUUUUUGUAAAAUAGACUAAAUAACUAAAUUUAAAAAAAAAACUAUUGAAGAGUUUCUUCAUGAGAUUUGAAAAAAGAAUUCACUAACAAAAUAUUCUUUGAAACUAGUUUAGCAAAUUGUUAUUACAAUUUACUAGCGUAAAUAGGCCCAUGUGAGCAAGGGUUCAAAAAGCAUCAUUUCACCAUAAUAAAAUCAAAAGUUUAUUUCAUAAAAUCCCCUAUAAAAUAAAGUGUAAGAUUUAAUUUAAGAUGGCAACACCUAUUUGAAUAAAUCACCAUAUACGAAGAUAUCAACUACCUCGUAGAAGAAUAUUUUGCAUACAACAUUAUUCAAGACUUAAACUAGGCAUGAAAUUCAAACUUUCAAGUCUCAAACACUAACAAGAUAAGUCCCCAUUCUAAAGUGAAAAUCAAGAAGUAAACUUAAUACAUAAUAAGACUUGCAAUUGCAUACCCCUCAAAAUAGACAAACCGUUUACCAAAUCAAAUUAUAAUAUAAUAGCAUCGUGACCAACAAUCAUUCAAAACUACAAAUGUAAAUAUGUCAUAUGGAUCAUGUACAAGACUACAAGUCCCAAAUCUCUACAAUAAUAUAGAUGCUUAUGCAAAUAUGUUCUUCAUGAUAGCUUCAAGACUUCUAUGGCCACCCUAGAUUCUCUUAUGGUAUAUCAAGUACGAUAUCAACGAAUCAUCACUAAGUAUAAAGUUUAGUGGCACAUAAACUUUGGGUUUGAAGCCAUUAAAUUCUCUAAUUCUCAUCUAAAAUACAAAUAGAUCAUAUGAAACUUAGAUAUACAAAUUUAGCUAACCUUUCAUGUUAACAGCAAACUAGGUCUAAAAAAGAGUGCAUGAAAGAAAUUCAUAAAAUGAGUUUAUCAAAUCGUCAUCAAGUACUUAAUGAGAGUAUGAUGUUUAAAGUGAAUCAAAUAUCAAACCUAGUCCAGGAAAAAAAAAACAGUCCAAGAUACUAACAUUCAUAAUCUCAGGUGUCAAGAAAGCUCCCAAAGCUAAUUCAAGAAUUUGUUUUUUAUCAAAUAGUCAAAUUCGCCCAACACAUACGUCAUGCAACCACAUUAAUCAUAAUCGAAUAACACGAAGGACCGAGACCCCAAUCAAGUAUGGCCAAAACCAAUAAUCAAGAAAAUCAAGUACCAUAUUAAAAAUGGAUUUUCAUUCUUACUUAAAAUGAAGAAAGUCCAUAGCUAAGAUGAAAUGCAAAUCCAAAGCCAAGAUGGGGCGAGAUCACUAUAGAUUCUAGAGACAUGGAAAUAUAAGCGACAAAGACAAAGUCACUAUUACAAGGACAACGUCCCAACAAGAAUGUAAUAUUGUUCAACCAAUCUGUAAAUGUGGGAGAGUUAUUGAGUUAUACAAGCACUUCACUUACUACCGAUAAGAUUUUAACGUACUCAAAUAUACAAUUACACUCGAUUUGUGGGCGCUUCAGUGUCGCAUCAAGGUUCUAAGGCGUACUUUUCCUUACCAAUGAGUGUAAUCCUGAAAAGGCGAUACUAAAAAAUUGAUAUUUCACUUUAUCGUAAUUUUUUUUUAAUUUCUUUGUCCAUAUAUUUGUUAUUCAUGCUUAUAAUUAUUGUUCUAAGACAACAUAUACAUACUUUUACUUUUUCUCGAGUUGCGCCUUUUUUCAUUAAAGCUCACGCUUUAUUUGCGCUUCGCGAUUAAAGACCCAACGGACCUUAGAGCUUUUUAGCGUUUUUCGCCUUUGAUAACACUGAAUUUGCUUCAGAUAGGCAAAAAUCCUAUGUUGAUCUUAAGAGACGUGAAAUUGAGCAUCAAGUGGGUGAUAAAGUAUUUUGAAAGGGCAUUAACGUUGCAGGCCCUACUUUACCAAAAGUCAUCUUCUUCUUUUUCCUUUAUCAUAUCCUUCGUUAAAGAGCUCAACCAUACAAAUAUUGCUCUUGUUCUCAUUAAAAACAAAACUUUAUUGCAAAAAAUCCACUCUCUACCUCUUGAAAGAUAAACUGAAAUUUGUUUUCAAAAAUCAACAUGAGUAAAAGGAUUAAUUUGAAGCAUUAGGUUUUAGUUAGAGAGAGACUUCUUUUAUCUGUGGUAUGCUUCUCGCUCAAUAUAUGUUAGUGAAAUAGUUAAUAUUUUGGUUAGUGAAUUUGAGAUCUUAAAAACUAAGAAUUUAAUCUCGUUCUUGAACUAUAUAACAUUUGGUAUUUGAGCAAAAUUUCUUUCUAGAACUCGGAUUGAGGUGAUUCAAAAUUCUAUAGAAAGCUAAGAGAUUAACCUACAACUUUUAUGAAGAUAAAAAAUCUAUCUCUGUUGUUUCCUGCAUAAAUAUGAGCCGCAAUACAGAGCGUAGGUGCUGCCCAGAUUUUCUUCUUUUAAGAAAUAGGAAGAGUUCUGACCAAUUAGGCCCCCUUCUGAUACUCAUCAUGACUUGUCUUAAAUACCUUUAAAUUUCAAACCUUAAGUGAGCAUUCGAUUAUGUAUUUAAGGUACAAGAGAUACUUGUACAAGCUAAGGAGAAUUCUUUAAAAAGGUCGACAAAAUCACUUGAUUCUUGGCUUAGAGGAUCUAUACUUCCUUGAUGUUUGGUUGAGCUUUAGGAACACUAAGCGUGUGUUUGGUAUGAAGGAAAACAUUUUCCGAUGAAGGAAAACAAUUUUCGAAAAAUGUUUUCCAAUUUUCCUAUGUUUGGUUGGCUUAAAUGUUUUGGAAAACAUUUUCCUCAUCAACUCUAAAAUAUUUUUCCUAUCAAAAGAAGGGAAAACAUUUUCCAAAACUCUUUUUCAACAUUCUCCACCAUAUUUCCCACCCUCCCACCACCCCACCCCCAUCCACCCCACCCCCAAACCAUCCCAACCCCCUACCCCCGACCACACCCCACUCACCCCAACCUCGCCCACCACCCACCCUAAAUAGAACUAUUAUUAAGAGUGCUUUUCAUGUUGUAGAUAGAGUACUUUUUUUAUUUUAACAAAUAUACUAGUAAAAAUAUUUUCUUUCAUUUCAACAAAACGAGUACUUUUUUUUUCAUGAUGUAGAAAAAGUAUUUUCUUUCAUUUCAACAAACUAAAUAUUUUCUUUUCCUGAUGUAGAACAAAUAUUUUCUUUCAUUUUAACAAAACAAGUACUUUCUUUUCAUGAUGGAGAAAAAAUAUUUUCUCAUUUCAACAAACUAAUUAUUUUCUUUUCAUGAUGUAGAAAAAAAUAUUUUCUAGUAUUCAACAAAAUGAGUAAUUUCUGUUCAUGUUGUAGAAAAGAUACUUUCUUUUUCAACAAAAUAAAGUAUUUUCUUUUUAGUUAUCGAGCUCAAAUUUUAAUGUUGUUUUUGUGUGAAAAAGUAAAGUAGCACAUUAGUUCCUUUGGGUUUGUGUGAAUUUUGAAAAGAAUAAUUAAAUUUUUGAAGAAAAUAGAGCCCAGGAGAGGGGGGAGGAGUUCAGGAAACAUGGGGAUUCUGGGUAAGGUGGGUUGAGGAGAGUAGCAUAAAAAAUUAUUUUUCUAAAAAUAUUUUAUACUCUCUAACCAAACACUAUAAAAUAUUUUCCGGAAAAAGUUUUUCACUCACCAACCAAACAAGGGGAAAUAAGUGAUAAAACGACUCAUUUUCCGGGAAAACAUUUUCUAGAAAAACAUUUUACAUGAAAAACAUUUCCCUUCAUACCAAACACACCCUAAGUCUGCAAGGUUUGCACAUAAACUAGAAUUUUCCAUUUAAUUUAUUUUGUCGGAGUAUUUUGAAUAGUUUUACCCUUGGUAAAAUUUGUCUUUACUUUGAGUUGUUGUAUCAGUUUGUUGCUACUUUAGUACCCUACUUGCUAUGUUUAAUUAUGAAAGCAUGGUUUGAAACACUUCCAUAAUUUGGCUACCAUUGAGAGUACAAUUGUAUAGUUAAGUUAAGUAUACGUUAAAAUCGUGUUGGUAUCAUGUAAAGUACUUUUGUUAGAUAAUCUAACUGCCUACAUAUACGGAUUGCUUGAGCAUUGUUGCAUUCUUUUUGGGACUUUGUUCUUCUUGUGAUAGUGACGUUGUCGCUUAUAUUGGCAUGUCUCUUGAUACUAUAUGAAUCUUUCUCCAUUUUGACUUUAGAUUUGGAUUUCAUCUUUUUAAACAUGGUACUUGAUUCUUUAGAUUAUUAGGUAUUGACCCUACUUGAUUCGCGGCCUCAUUGUUUCUUGUUAUCCGAUUAUGCUUGAUGUGAUUGCAUGACGUAUGCGUUGGGCGAAUUUGACUAUUUGCUAGAUUUUUUCUUGAAUUAGCUUUGAGAGUUUUCUUGACAAUUGAAAUUAUAAAUAUAAAACUACUUCAUGGUUUAAUAUCUGAUUCUCUUUAAACAUCGUACUCUUAUUAAGUACGUAAUGAUGAUUUAAACACAUUAUAUGAAUUUCUUCUUGUUACUCUUUUUGAUACAUAGCUUAUUUGUUAACAUGAAAGUUUAGCUAAAUUUGUAUGGUCAAAUUAGUUUGUAUAUUCAAGUUUGUUAUGAGCUAUUUAUAUUUUAAAUGAGAAUUGGAAAAUUUAGUGGCUCCAAACCCGAAGUUUAAGUGUCACUAAGUUUUAUAAUUUUUUUUAAUAACUGUGGUGUCUAGGCCAACUUGCGCGUACCUCGACUAAUCUCACGGGAUACUUUCUACUUCCCGCCAACAACAGGUACCGGUAACUCUAUCCACCAACGCUUGAACAGAUGGGAAGAAAUCACCUAGUGAUUUUUUGUCUCCUCUAGGAUUUGAACCUGGGACCUUAUGGUUCUCAACUCACUUCAUUGACCACUAGGCCACACCCUUAGGUGUACACUAAGUUUUAUACUUAGCAAUAGUUUGUUGCUAUCAUAGGUGAUGUACUGGAAGAGAAUUGAGGAUGGCAAUUCAAAACAGACUUUUAGAAGCUAUCAUGAAGAUCACAUUUGCAGCAUCUAUAUUUUUGUUGAGAUUUGGGACUUGUACACGAUUUAUAUGACACUUUCAAAUGUAAUUUUGAAUGAUGGUUGGUCAUGGUGUUAUUAUUUUAUAACUUGAAUUUGGUAACUGAUUUGGCUAUUUUUGGGGUGUCCAGGCCAAAGUCUUGUUAUGUACUUGAUUUGCACUCUGGGAACAAAUAGGGACUUAACUAGUUAAUAUUAAAGACUUGAAAGUUUGGAUUUCAUGUCCAGUUUAAGUCUUGAAUGAUGUUGCAUGCAUAAUAUUCUUUUAUUAGGUACUUGAUAUAUUCAUAUAGUGCUCUAUUCAAACAAGUGUUUCCAUUUCAAAAAAUCUUACAAUUUAUUGUAUAUGAAAUUUUACGAAAUAAACUUUUAAUUUUAGUAUGAUGAAAUGUUGCACCUUUUAGAACCCUUGAUCACAUGGGCCUAUUAGUUUCAUAUUUGUUAGUACACUUGAACUAUUUUUCUUAAAUCUCAUGAAUAAAUUAUUAAAUAAUUUUUCAAUAUAGUUAGUGUGCAAAUUUAGAUACAACUACAUAAAUACAUAACUUUCAAAUUUUAAAAAUAUCACAAUAUGACACUCGAGACUACCAAUUUGGGAAUGGAAAGAGUACUAGGAUAGCACAUAUAAGCACAGACAUUUAGGUAGAUAACAAGUCUCUUUUCACAGAUUGCCCUAGAGUAAACAAGGAUCAAGAGAUGGCAUAAAAGGGUCAAAGGGGCACAUGAGGUUAGAAUUUCAAACAUUUGAAGCCACCAUAGUACUUUAUGAUUGAUAUUUCAAACACUUUUUUAUACUAGUGAUAUGUAGCAAUCUCCCAGUUUCAGUUUAUGUGAUAUAUUUUUCCUUUUAACCUGUCCCAAAAGAAUAUUAUAUUUUCUUAUUCAGAAAUAACUUAACUUUAAACUUUUUAUUUUUUCAUUAAGAUGAUUUAUACAAAUUUAUUAGCUUAUUUUAGACGACAAAUUUCAAAAGUUUUUACUUUCUUUCUUAAACUCAGCACAGCCGCAUAAAUUGGAACUAAAGCCCCGGAGAGAACCAGCAAGAAGUAGAUGAGUCUUGAUAUCUUACACAUUUUUCUAGAAAGCUUCCUACUUGUACUACACAAAGUAAAGAAGAUUUACCUUGCUCAAUUUGUAAAGAAUUUUGUUUUCUGCAGUCAUUCUUUGGAAAUCUUUCUUCUUCUUCCACCUGAAGAACUUUAACCACCUUACGACCUCUCUUUUGCCCUUCAAUUUCUUCCUUUUGAUUUUACCUUCUCCAGAACUCUCUUCAACAGCAGCAGCUGAUUCCAGAGCUUUGCCAACCGUACAGAAACCUCGACCCAAAUAUACGCAUCCAAGAUCACAUUUGGGUGCUCUUAUGUGUGACCCAACAGCGACUCCUCCAAGAAAAACCUUGCAUUUUGCAGUAAAAGGACUACUAAACUAUGGGAUUUUUGCAAAAUUAUUUGUGUCUAUGUAUGUAUAUUUGGAAAGAGAGAUAAAAUUAAUAUACCUGGUUCUUUGUUGGGAUAAGAGAGGUUGAAAGAUGAAGGGAUUGGAAAAGAGAUGUUUGAGCUGCCGUGAUUUGCAGAUAAUCCCCGGUAACAAACUUCUUCCCACCAUUUUCACCGUUCUUUCUGCUCUUCGGCGGGAACCAGAAAACCGGAGUUGCGUUUUCCAGAUACUUCAAUGGGCUUCUGUUAAUGAGUGUGGGUUUUUCUGAUAAUGGGGUAGAAAUCCCACCAGAGUCACUCUAAUAGGCUGGUAUUUAAAAAGGAUAAUCUAGUGUUCUACCUAUUAAAAACAUCAAUUAACUCCCUAUACUUUCAAAAUAUUUAUUUUACAUUCUAUACCUACUUUAUAAAAUUAUAUUUACUUCUUAAAUCUUUAAUACUAUUUUAUACCUUUACACAUAUCCCAGGACUAGAUUAUCUUUCACUCCAACUUAAUAAAUUUCUUAAAACACUCCAUCAUCCCACAGAAUUAGGAUUAUACAUUUUUAUUAAAAAAAUUCGAACCCUAAUAAUUUCUCUUGUUCUAAAUAAACAACCCUUUCUAUUCUUUUCUAUGACAUGGGGAUGCAGAAGGAAGAAGAAUAUUAAAAUGGAGCAUUUAUUAUGUACAAGGAAUUACCUCUUUAUCAUUUAUUUGUCAGAUGAAGUGUUUCAUCUUUUUUGUUUUUCUCUUCUAUCUAUGUAAUCAAAAGAAAAGUUAAAAUAACGUAUAAAUAUUUUAAUUUGGGAUACGGUAUCUAAACUAAAAAAAAUAUUAGAAUGUACUAGUAUUCAAACUAAUAUAUACACCACAAUAUUCUAAUGAAAAAUGUAAUAUUCAAAUCAAACAUGUCAUAAUAUUCAAAUAAUGUGGGAUAUAUUAUCCAAACCAAAUUAAACGUAACAAAUUACAAUAGAUUAAUGAAGAAUAUAGUAUUCAAACCAUCAUACCAUAAUAUUCUAAUAAAGAAUACAAUAUUCAAAAUCAAACAUAUCACAAUAUUCUAAUUUGGAAUAUAGUAUUCAAACCAAAUAUACCACAAUAUUCUAAUUUGAAAUAUAGUAUUCAACUAAAUAUAACGCAAUAUUCUAAUUUGGAAUACAGUAUUCAAAUCAAACAUACUUUUAUUUUUAUUUAUUGUGUAUAUAUUGUUUUACUUGGAAUAUUAACAUACUUUAAUAGUAUACAAUGACUAGUUUAUUGUAUAAUUUUUUAUUGUAUACAAGAAAAUACGGACAAAGGUUCCCAUAAUUAAAAAUAAAAAAAUUUAAUGGAUAAUAUUUUUUUAUUCUUUCAUUUUAUGUCCAAGUUUAAAAUGGAUGUAGUAAGAUUUUGGAUUUGCUUCAUAUAUAUAAUUUCCUUUAAUUUAGGCGACAAAUUUGUUAGGUAGUUAUUGCCCUUUGACUAAUUGAAUAUGUGGAGUAAUCAAUUAAUGUGUACUACAUGUAAUUUUAUAAUUAAAAGGUAUAGUGUUAAGGGUUCUUUAGAGGGGGUAUACCGUGUAAAGUUUCCUAAAAAAAAAUGGAAAACUAGUGGCUAUGUCCAUUUAUAAGUAAUUCAUUACAAAAAUUGGUCAAUUCAUUAAAUAUUAUUAAUAUAGUCAAAUGUUAUCAAUAUUAGUCAAUUAGCUAUUUGUAGCAAAAGAAAAAGGUCAAAUCUUUGCUUUCUUUUGAGUGGGUGUUAUUAGAAUAGAUUGGGUACAUCUUAAGAAAUUUGAAUCUCAGUUUUGUGAUGAUUUGACGGAGUUUUGAGGUAGUUUCAAUUCAAAAUUCGAAGUAGAAGAUGAAACAUGAAAAAAGAAUAUAUGUAUCACACUGUGUAUCAUUUGUGUAUCACAUAUGUACCAUAUUUAUAUCAGAUGUGUAUCACAUAUAUACCUGUAUGUGUGAUACAUGCAUGAUAUAUGUUUGAUACAUGUGUAGCAGUCUCGCAGAAGAAUUUUUCGAACUCAAUUUUAACUACAAAUUUUGACACCAAAUCAAUUCAAAUCACCUCCAAUCUUCCUCAAAAUUUCUAUGUUGAUUCAUCUAUAUGUUUUCAAUGAAUUUCAACCAUACCCAUUGAAAAAUGUCCUUUUUUGUUUAGAUUUUUGAAAUUUUGUAUAUAUGUUUUUUGUAUUUUAUCAUCUUGUUUGCUACCUCAUCCAUGAAAUUUUCUUUCUGUCGUGCAUCUGAUGUUGCUUAUCGCGCUUAAAAUAUGAAAAGAGAUCUUUGCGUGUAAUUCUUGGAGAGAAAGAACCUUAUUUAUUAUUUGAAUUUUUGAAUUUUUACAUAUGCUUGGCUAGUUUUGAUAAAUUUAUAAUUAGUGGCUAGAGGUUGGUAAAUAGUACGCAUUUGUGACAUUUACGUAAGAUUUUCUUUAAAAAUGCGCCUAGGAAACCACACACGGCCCAUUAUGAUUAUUUUUGAGUGAAACAAAGAAAAUUGUCUUCAUUAUUGCCCUCCACAUUUUAAUCAAUGUGUCAUACUUUUUUUCUUUAAGUUGUUUAAAAAAUAUAAUAACCUUAUACAUUUAGUAAAUUUUUAAUUUAACAUUUUAAUUUUAUCUUUAAUAUCAAUCUCUUAUAUACAUGGCAUAACAUGUUUGAGACCGAAAAUUCAAAGGUUAAUUUUAGUAUGUUAUAUGUGUAUGGGGUAAAAUUGGUUGAUAACAAGUGGUCGAAUGGUAAGAUGAUACUUGAAGUCGAAGAUAGACAAAUGACAAGUCGGGAAACGAUUAAUAUCGAAUGUGACGUGUGUGACCGGUAUCGGAUGGAUUUGGAAGGGAAUGUAGCCGCGGUAGAAGUUCACAGAUUCACCAUCGGACAACAUUUAAUGAGGGAAUAUUUUCUAGCAUUAAAUAAGCAGACGUUACAAAGAAUAUUUGCAUUCAAGACUUGUUGUUACAUAUUCAUCAAUGACACUUUUAUUCUCAUUUAUAUAGGAGCUUGAUCCUAGGAUCUUGUUUCCCUAGGUAGAAUUAUAAUUAGUGGGGUUAACACCAUUGUAAGGACACGAAACACUCUCUAUGCAAAAGCCAUACUUUACUAUUUUGCUCUCAACUUUACUAUUCAGUUCUCACUUUAACAGCUUCAUCGUUGCUUUAUCUCUACUUUCACUUUUGUUCUCGGAAAGGCUGAGUUCGGAACCAGGCUUGUUAUCUUCUUUAAUUUCAAUCGCUAAAUCUUAACUUCAAUCUUAUUUUUUUUAUCGUUUUGGGGUCAAAUCAAUUCGCUUGUCUAUAAACCACGUUACAAAUUUAAUUUUACCAUUUUACGGGUAAACAGUUUGGCGCCCACCAUGGGGAAUAGAAAUUUGUGUAAUUGCUUUGAUCCAUACAUUUAUUGCUAACAAGUUUCAGUUCUUUCCUUAGUAAAAAUCACAUAUGGUAGCUAGCGAUGUCAACAACACAUACAACGUUGAAGCACGCAUUGAACAGGAAGAAUCGUCCCAGCAUGAUGACUUAAUAAGUGACACCCGUAACGAAGGUGACGAAAUAACCCUGAUUCUCUAAGGUCAGAUCCUCGGCAUGUGUGAGACCCAACUCUUGAUCAUGUGGAGGAGGAACAUGUCAUAGAGACGGUCAAACUCCUGAGGUAACAACAGAAAACAAUCAUAGAUCAUCUCUCAAGGCAGGUUCAGGUGAUGACAGAGUUAAAACAAGCAUUGACAGGUGCUUCCAACAACGUGAACGUAAGGGGACCAAUCCUUGCCAGUGUUCCCAUAAAUCAAACGGAUGAGAGAAUCGAUAACAACACCCCCAAGGGGCGAAGUCGGUUUUGACGAAGCCGGAGGGAUCGGUAGCGGAUCUGGGAACAACAAUGGAAGCGAUCCUUUCAAAACCGAGCUCAUGAGGUUCAUGAGAGAAAUGAACAAAUGAAUGGAUCAGAAUGCGAAAGAAGUUUCUCGCUCGAACGGAUCAAAUUUCGGGCGCACCACCAGUGUUAAAGGGUCCGAAUUCAAAAAAGUACACACAGUUGCCGUUUAAGCCAAGUGCAGCACCAGAGUUAAUUCUGAAAAAAUUCAAAAUGCCGGACAUACCAAAGUAUGAUGGGACUUCGGAUCCACAGGAGCACAUCACAACCUAUACCACAGCUAUGAAAGGAAACGAGUUGGCUCAACAUGAGAUCGAUUCGGUUUUGUUGAAGAAGUUUGGUGAAACCCUCACAAAGGGGGACCUGACACGGUACUCUAUUUUACCCGAGCAUUUAAUUGAUUCUUUUGAAAUGCUUGCAUACUCAUUCAUUAAGGCCCAUAACAGAACAAGACAGGUUCAGGCUAGAAAGGCAUACAUUUUCAGAAUUGCGCAAGGGGAAUCCGAAUUGAUGCGAGAAUUUAUGAUCUGAUUCCAGAAAGAAAGGAUGUUGCAAUCGGCAGUUCUAGAUGAGUGGGCAGCGGAGGCAUUCACAAAGGGUCUAAAUUCACUGAGUUCUGAUGCCUCUCGGAAACUGAAGGAGAGCCUUCUCUAGUUUCAGGUAACCACAUGGGCAGAUGUCCAUACCGUUAUGAGUCAAUAAUAAGGAUAAAAGACGAUCAACUUGGGUCUUCGGUAUCGACUAAGGGACGGGGUCGAGACAAAAGCCAGGACAAGUUUAAGAGCGAUUUCAAUGCAGACCGGCGGACCUCUAGAGGUUAUUUUCUACCGUACGAGAGGACUGAUGGGCGUAGCAGCAAAGGGUUUCAGACAUCAUAUAGGGUCGUUCCCGAUAGAAGAGUCGAUCGUGGCCGGAACAACGGGUCGUUGCGAGAGAAAGAGGUGCCACGGGCCCGAGUCUCCGCAUAUCCCAGGUUAUCGGAUUACAACUUCAAAAUCAGCCUAGUAGAGUUGGUAUUGGCGAUGAGAAAUGUCAAAGAAGCAUGGUUCUCGAAGACAAUCCACUAAGAUCCUAGCUAGAGGGAUCCUAAUUUAUGGUGUGAAUACCAUGGAACUCACGGCCACAGAACUGGGGACUGCCGACAUCUUCGCGAAGAGGUGGCGAUAUUGUUGAAGAAUGGACAUCUCAGUGAGUUUUUAAGCGACUGAGCCAAGAACAACUACGGCCGAAGCUGGGACAAUGCAGAGCCUUCGAAGGUAGCAGAAGGGUCACCUCAGAUGACUAUCAACAUAAUCUUCGGAGAAUACGAAGUCAAUGGUGUAACCUUUUCAACAGCGAAGAAAACAAAGAUAUUGGUGACUCACAAUAAUAGAUUCCAGGAAGUCGCAAAAGAUGAUAUCACCUUCACGGAUGAGGAUGCUAACAGACUUCUUCUGCCAUACAAUGAUGCUUUGGUAAUCUCUUUCAAUGUUUUAGAUUUCAAAAUUAAUCGUAUUUUGGUUGACCCACGAAGUGCAUCCAACACAAUACAAUGGAGAGUUUUGGAGCAAGCAAAGUUAAUCGGGAACAUCGUUCUGGCGAUAAAACUCUUAGGUGGCUUCAACUUGACAAGCGCGACAACCCGAAGAGAUAUUUUUAUUCCCACACACGUCGAAGGAGUAACGAAGACUACUCUAUUCGAAGUGGUGGAUGACGAUAUGGGUUACAAUAUAAUCCUCGGAAGGCCAUGGAUAUACGAGAUAAAGUUGUACCUUCAACAUAUCACCAACUGUUAAAAUUUUUGAUGUCGGAGGGAAUCAAGAAAAUAAGAGGAAACCAGCCGGCAAAGAGGGAAAUGAACGCGGUGACUGUUUCUAGUAGCAAGGGAAAGAGUCCAACAAAUAGCAAUUAUAGGAUCCAAUUCCUUCUCCCUUUUUGAAUGAAGAUCAUAAGAGCGAGGAGUCAUCAGAAUCCUAUCAGGUUCUGAGACACUUUCAGCUACCAAAGGAGACGGAUACGACCAAGUCGACCGCAGAAGAACUUGAGCAAGUGGCCUUGUUCGAAGAGUUUUUGGAAAGGAAGUUUCAUCUGGGAACAUGGUUAAAUCCUGAGCUCAGGUUAGAAUUUAUAAAUUUUCUUAAAGCUAACGUUGACUGCUUUACAUGGUCCUACUUAGAUAUGACAGGUACCCAAUUAGAGGUAGCGGUCCAUAAUCUAAAUCUAGAUCCAAACUUUCCACCGGUAAGACAAAAGAAACGUCUCAUAGUGGAGGUCAGGAACAUGUUUGUUAAAGAAUAGGUAACCCAGCUACUAAAUAUCAGUUCAAUCCGGGAGGUAAAGUAUCCAGAAUGGUUAGCCAAUGUAGUUGUAGUACCAAAAAGAAUUACAAAUUUAGGAUGUGCGUAGACUAUAAAGAUUUAAAUAAGGCGUGUCCUAAAGACUCGUUUUCGCUGCUAAACAUUGAUCAAAUGAUUAAUGCGACGGCCGGAUACGAUCUAAUGAGUUUCCUUGAUGCUUACUCUGGGUACAAUAAAAUCAAGAUGAAUCUGAAGGAUCAUGAAAAAACUUCUUUCAUAACAAACUUUGGCACAUAUUGCUAUAAUGUUAUGCCUUUGGGGCUUAAGAAUGCCGGAGCCACUUAUCAUAGGCUUGUUAAUAAAAUGUUUGAGGGUCAGGUAGGCAAAACAAUGGAAGUAUAUAUUGACGACAUGUUAGUCAAGUUUUUAAAUGCAUGAGAUCACUUGAAACACAUCCAAGAGACUCUCGACCUUCUGAGGAAGCAUAACAUAAAACUCAACCCGGAGAAAUGCGCAUUCGGGGUUGGUUCCGAUAAGUUCUUGGGGUUCCUGGUCUCGCAAAGAGGGAUCAAGGUAAAUCCCGACAAAAUCAAAGUUAUCGAGGACAUUCCAGACCAAUUGACAAGUGUGAAGGAAGUACAGAGGUUGACCGGAAGGUUGGCGUCUCUAAGAAGAUUCAUCUCAAGAUCCUCGGAGAAGUGCCAUCACUUCUUUUCACUUUUGAAAAAGAAGAACAAUUUCGAAUGGACUCCGGAAUGUCAACAGGCAUUGAAAGACCUAAAAAGGUACCUGUCCAGCCCCCCGUUACUGUCAAAACCAGGGGAAGGCGAGCAGUUGUUAAUAUAUCUAGCGAUCUUGGAAGUAGCCAAAAGUGCCAUAUUGGUCCGAGAGGAGGAAGGUACGCAAUUUCCUAUUUACUACGUUAGUAAAAUAUUUUCGGGAGCAGAGACUCAUUAUCCGUACCUCGAAAAGUUGGCCUUAGAUCUCGUAGUUGCCUCUCGAAAGCUUAUGCCUUAUUUCAGUGCCACACAAUAGUCGUUGUGACAACCUUUCCCUUAAGGAACGUCCUUCACAAGCCUGAGUUGUCAGGCCAUUUAGCUAAAUGGGCAGUCGAAAUUAGCGAUUCGACAUUGAGUACAAACCAAGGAAUGCAAUCAAGUCGCAAGUUUUGGCCGACUUUGUGGCUGAUUUUAGUCCUGGGUUAAUGCCCUUGGAUGUUAAGGAAGAAGUGCUGGUGUCAAAACGGUAUCGGGUUUGGACCUUGUUUACAGAUGGGGCUUCCAAUGUAAGAGGGUCCGGUCUCGGGAUAGUUCUAAUCACACCCUUGAGGGAAACCUUGAGGUAGGCAUUAAAAUUGUUCCGUUAACUAAUAAUGAAGCCGAGUAUUGUUGCAGGACUAGAACUAGUCCGGGGACUAGGCUCUAAGGUCAUCGAAGUGAAAUACGUCUCCAGUUGGUAGUAAACCAAGUGUGUGGGAUUUUCGACACAAAGGAAGAACGCAUGCAACAAUAUUUGAACAAGGUUCAGGCUUUGCUUGCACGAUUCAGGGAAUGGUCAAUCAUCCACAUUCCAAGGGAAGAAAAUGUGGAAGCAGAUGCAUUGGCUAAUUUGGGGUCAUCCACGAAAAUGAAAGGAUCUGAUUCUGGUACAGUCGUCCAACUUUUACAUUCGGUGUUGGGCGUGGAUGUCUACUGCGAGGUAAAUGCGACCAACUUGGUUUGGGAUUGGAGGAACGAGUUUAUCGAGUAUCUCCGCCAUGGUAAAUUACCCAAGGACUCAAAGGCGUUUCGGGAACUACGGACUAAAGCAGCUCGUUACUGCCUCGUGGAUGGGCAGUUAUACAGGAGCUCAUUUCAAGGACUGUGGGCCCGGUGUCUAGGGGCCUCAGAGGUGGACUAUGUGAUGAGGGAAUUCCACAAAGGAGUUUGCGGGAAUCAUUCCGGUCGAGACUCGUUAGUUGCCCUGGAUGGAACAUGACGCAAAGGCAUUCGUUCAAAAAUAUGACAAAUGCCAGCGUCAUGAGCAGUUGGUGCAUCAACCGGCAGAACUUUUACAGUCGAUGUUGUCCCCGUGGCCAUUCAUGACGGACGGACGAACAUAGUUGGUCCUCAUCCACCGGGCCCCGAAAAAGGUAUGAUUUUUUUAGUUUUAACUGAUUACUUCACCAAAUAGGUUGAAGCAGGUCCUUACCAACAUAUCGAUGAACGCAAAGUAGUCGACUUCAUAUAGGACCACAUAAUCUACCAAUUUGGAAUACCGAAGGAAAUCGCUUGUGACAACGGGCCACAGUUCAUAGGUUCAAAUGUCACAAAGUCUUUGGAAGGGUUAAAAAUCAAAAGAAUUACAUCUUCAUUGUACCACCCAAGUGCUAACGGAUGAUGGUAGGCUAUCAACUCGUAUUUUAGUCGCUUAUUACACUCCAAUUUACUGCACUUUAAUUGAGUUUGAGCUUUAAUCGCUAGUGUUUUGCACUAAUUGUGUGUUUUAUGCCUUGUAUGAGUGAUUCCGAGAUAUGUAGAUGUUAUGGAAUGAAUUCGAGUAAUUUGGAGCUUUGAAGUCUGAGUAAAAGCCUAAGGGAAUAAGCCAGGAUCGCGUUCGGGGGUAGAACCACGUCGGGAUAGCUAAAAAGCAAGAAAAAUCAGUACUUAGAGAAAGUCCUACAGCCGCGGCGCGUGGGACAGCGCAUGGCGCGCCGCGGCUGCACAAUUUCCCUGAAGCCUAUUAGAACAAGCUCUCUGAAGUUUCCCACAAUCUCCCCGCAUGGCGCGUCGCCCCAUGCGGCACGCCUGUGCAAUUUUUACAGAGUUAUUAUCCUAGUUCAUGUAGGAAAAGGUGUUCUCGUCUGGGCCCGACCCUACCUAGUAUAAAUACAUGUAAAAAUAUUAUUUUAGGGACUUUUGACACAUCUAAGACCUAAAUAGGCUAGAGAGAAGGUGGAGGAGCGAAAGCACAAGGGAUUCAUCAUUUAAUCCUCACUCAAGACAAGAGUUUGGAUCAUUUUAUGUUUUUCUUUAUAUUUGUGAUGAAUUACUCCAUAUCUAUGGAGUAGUUCUCUUUAGUGAUUGAUGGAUUUGGUGUAUUGAUAUUUGUUUGUGGAUAAUAACUCUAGUUUUUAUGUAUUGAAUCGUUUUGGAUGUUUUAUAUAGUUGCAUCUAUAUUCACAUGUUCAUGUAAUCAAGAGAGGCAUAACUUGUGAUAUCUUUGCAUUAUCUUGUUGGUUGAAUUCAUUAAUUCUUCUUAGUAAUCGAAAGAGGCUAGUUGAAUUGUUUAUUAAACCAAGUUAGGAGGAUAAUCGAGAGAGGUUUUCCUAAAGACCAAUCCACUACGAACUCUUGCAUAUCUUCACCGAGCUUAAAUUGGUUCACAUUGUGAGGUUGAGACUUAAUCGAGAGAAUAGUUUCUACUAAACGUUUGAACUAAUAAUUGAGUGAAUUUGAGAGACUCACUUGAACAUUAGAAGUGAAUUAAAUAGAGUUAAAUCCCAGACAAUUAUCUUGCACCUAUCCAAUCAAUCCCUAUUUUCUUCCAUUGAUAUCUUCUUUGCUUACUUUUGUUUCGAUUGUCAUAGUCAAUUAGCUCUAGAUUCUUAGUUAAUUUUAGUUUUAAUCACAUAAUUCCCAACUAUUGAUCAUCUUGGAUAGCAACCAAGCUAUAAACUAUGAAAAUAUUAUUUAACUCCAAUCCCUAUGGAUAGGAUAUUAUAUUAUACUAUAUUCGACUAGCGAGCAUAUUUAAGUGCGUAUUUUGUGCUGGUCAACGGACAAGCGGAAUCAACCAACAAGGUAAUUAUUCAAAACCUUAGGAAGAAGUUAGAAGGUGCUAAGGGCAAGUGGUUCGAUGAGCUACCGGGGGUAAUAUAGGAAUAUCAGACAAAAGCGAAGUCGAGCACGGGAGAAACACCCUUCUCACUCGUGUACGCUGCGGAGUCUCUAAUACUAGUAGAAGUGAGGGAGCCAACUUUAAGGUUUUCCCGAACAAACGAAGAGGCAAAAAAUGAAGCGUUGUUAGUAAAGCUGGACUUGCUCAACGAACACAUGGACUUGGCGUACGUAAGGAUGGUGGAUCAAAAGCAAAGGAUAAAAAGAUAUCAUAAUCGCAGGGCCAAUCUCCGCUAUUUCAAAGUAGGAGAUUUGGUUUUGAGGAAGGUGACUCAAAGCACUCAAGAAGUCAACGCUGGGAAGCUGGGACCAACAUGGGAAGGUCCUUACCGGGUUUCAGCUAUCACCGAUAAGAGAUCAUAUGAGUUGAAAAAUCAAGAUGGAGUUAAAUUACCCAGCAAUUGGAACGUGAAUUAGCUCAAAAGGUAUUAUUGCUAAUGGAUCCUGCCAGUACAAAAAGUAUGUGAUGUACUUUUUUUUCCCUUCGAUAAGUUUUUGUCCCAAUCGGAUUUUUCUGGCAAGUUUUUAACGAGGCAGCAACGGAAAGCAUACUACGAAGGAAGCGUCAUUGGUGAAGGAAAGACCUGUAAAUAUCAUAGCACUGAAAUUUUCAUUAUUAAAAAAGGAUUAUUUAACUAUUAACAAGUUGUUUCCACCAGUGAAGCUGCAAUCUGGGUACAAGAAUUCCAGUGCUCGAAUUCGCAUGCUUCGUAUUUGAACACUGGGGGGAAUAAAUAUCUGAUACGGCACUAGAAAUGCCACGAAAGCCUGGACUGCGAGAACCGGGAUCAAUAUUUUAUCAGGACCGGAGACUACAUGAUCAACCCCGUAGAAAUAAGUUGUACAAGUUAGCCACAUGUAUUGGCAGCUUUAUUUACUUAAGCAAACGAAUGCCUAUGUACUUUUAAAAAUAGAGGGAAUAAAACAAAGUUCUUUUAUUUUUAUCUUGAUUCUUAUCCAAAUGAUGAGUUAAUUUUAUCGCUAGAAAGUUAACAAAAACUUCAAAUGCUUGUGCUAGAAUGAACAUGAUACUUCCUCUUUAAGAGCACCAUAAACAUAAGGUCCCUCUCUUAUGAGACCCUCAUAGUAAAGGGAAGGUUCCGGAAGAAUUUAUGCCCGGAAUCAAAAGCUAUGGGUUGAAAAAAUAUACCUGAAGCUUUAAUCAACUAAACAUAAAAGGAAUAUUUUUGCACAACACUUAAGCAAAUUUUUUUUUUAUUAUCAGGUACUGAACUUGAUGAAAAGUUUGGCAUAAUUACAAAAUAUAAAAACAUUAUACAUCAUUGCCGCUAGAACCCGAAGGAAGAGAAGGAUCUACGUUUCCCCUGUAGAGGAAGGCGGAUUCACCAACGCUUCAGGGCCUUCAUCUUCUUCAGUCUCCCUUUCGUUUUCCGAAUACACGGAAUCAUUAUUUGAGGAGUCAGUCACAGUGGGCCGAGCAGGAAGUUUUCACGAGCGGAUAACUCCAGUUCCUGGGCCUGGGCAAUGCAAUCGUUUAUGUUGGCGAUGACCACUUUGGCCUCCUCCAAGGUCUUCAUCUUCAUAUGAUAUAUGGCAUAGGUCUUCUCGAAGACAAGGGAAUCCUCUUGAACUUGGAGUUUUGCUCGAAGUUUAUUGUUUUCGGCCUGGAGCUCUUCUCUUUCGGACUUCAUGGCAUGGAGGCGGGAGUCAAGCUCAACAUUUGUAGUUGAGUGAAGCCAAUUUUGCUCCAUGGCCCUCUUAAGCCUCUCUUCCAUUCGGGCACUCUUCUUCUCGGCAGCAUUGGCCUCCUCGGUUUUGGAGCAUAAGUUGGACUUCAAGUUAUUGAUUUUCUCCUGGAAGGUAGACUCGCGCUCAGUAGCGGCAAUGGCAGCAUCGUGACAUUCGGCCCACUUUGCCUUAGCUUCUUCAAACUUUUCAUAUAAUUGAGUAGCUUAUUGGCUGUGGAACUUUCCCGUCAAGCAAGAAAUCUUCACCUACUUCCCGGUAACACUAAGUUGCAUUAUCGAAAAAGUAGGGGGACUAUCUGUAUGUAGUAAAAUUGGUUGAUAACAAGUGGUCAAAUGGUAAGACGACACGUGGAGUCGAAGAUAGACAAAGGACGAGUCGAAAAAUAAUUAGUACUGAAUGCGACGUGUGUGACCGGUAUCAGAUGGAUUCCGAAGGGAAUGUAGCCGGCAGUAGAAGUUCAAAGAUUCGCCAUCGGACAACAUUUAAUAAGGGAAUAUUUGCUAGCGUUAAAUGAGAAGCCAUUACAGAGAAUAUUUGCAUUCAAGGCUUGCCGUUACAUAUUCAGCAAUGAUACUUUUAUUCUUAUUUAUAGAGGAGCUUGGUCCUAGUAUCUUGUUUCCCUAGGUAGAACUAUAAAUAGUGGGGUUAACACAAUUGUAAGGACACAAAACACUCUAUACGCAAAAGCCAUACUUUACUAUUUAGCUCUCAUACUUUACUAUUUAGAUCUCACUUUCACAACUUCAUCAUUGCUUUAUCUUUACUUUCACUUUUGUUCUUGGAAAGGCUGAGUUCGGAACCAGGCUUGUUAUCUUCUUUAAUUUCAAUCGCUAAAUCUUAACUUCAAUUUUAUUUCUUUAUCGUUUUUGGGUCAAAUCAAUUCGCUUGUCUUAAACCACAUUACAAAUUCAACUGUACCAUUUUACGGUUAAAUAAUAUGCACAUUUGUUUUAAGAUCACAAGAUUCACAUUUUAUUCUUAAAUUCUAUGCCCCUACAAACUAACUGAUGUUAGGCAAAAAUGCCAUACUUUUAGUAAUUACUAGCCUUACAUGUUGUUAGUUUAGUGGUUAAUUGUGCGACGUUUGAGCUAAAUUAUAUUAUUUUAUAUGUAGGAGUAUCGGAAAAUAAAGACGAGUGAAGAUUGCAUAAAAAGAGGACGAAAAUGCAAGAAAAGAGCACAAAAAUGCCAAGUACCAAAAUCGUGCUACAGAUUAGGCUUCGCGAGGUCUAUAGCCAGCUUGACCGCGCUACAGACCAGGCUUCGCGAGGUCUAUAACCAUCUUGACCGUGAUACAGACCAGGCUUCGUGAGGUCUAUAGUCAGGUUGAGCGCAUUAUAAGCCUGACUUCGCGAGGUCUACAGCCCAGGAAUUAAAAGUCGCGGGUGAAAAGUCUCCAACCCGGAUUUGGACUCAAGGACUUCAACCCUAGCCUAUAAAUACUCCCUAAACAUGUCUAAGAGAAGGGGAGGAUUUUUUUAGAGCAGAUUCGACCUAAAGGGGAGACGUUUUUGGAGAGGCGAUUCGACCCAAGGAGGCAAGAACACGCUAGGAGCAAGGCAGAGAAUUCUUCUGCGAGUUUUUCACUUUUUUCUUCCUAUUUCCAUUAUUGGUUAUGAAUUCUAGUAUUGUAAUUUUGGAUACUAUUAUGAAUAGCUAAUUUGUUAUCUAGGAUUUUGAUGAAACCUUUUGUAGGAUGAAUUCUUGUUAUGUUUUUAUAUAACUGAGUCGUUGGAUUUCUCUACUUGUUCAACUACGUAUUUAUUGCUAUUGAUUGAAUGGCCAUCAAUUGACUGCACCUAUUUAGUAUGUAUAUUGCUCGAGAGAGAGUACACAUUUGGGUAGUUGUUAAACAACAUCACUCCUAACGUAUAUGAGAGAUCAAUACGGAGGGUUUAAAGGCAGGAUUAAAGAUAACAAAACCUUGGAACGAUCGUAAUGAGCGGUGAAUUAGUGCCAGCUAGCGUAGUUCGAGAGAAUGCGUCUAGUAAAUUGUGAUAGUUGCUCGAGAGAGAGCUACAACACCCAAAGUACUCACGAUCGGUAGAGAAUACUUAGGCGAAAUUAUAGAAGAUGUAGCAGGAAGGAUUCCGACAAUUGGAAAAAUCAUAACUCUAGGCCUCCUUAAUCUUUUCUCCAACCCUUAAUAUCUUUAGUUGUUAAUCUAGUACUUUAAUUUGUUAGUUAAUUAGAUAUAAGAAUCUUAAUAUUUAUAACUUAGGAAUUGUUCGAGCUUGUCUUCUUAGUGAUAGUAAACAAUUAUAGCUAAACCUUAAUUUUUUGUGGGAUUCGACUCCGGACUCUUAGACCGGAUUAUAUUUAUAACGACCGCUUAUCCUUUUUAGGACUAGAGUUGGGCGUGAUCACUGACACACAUAAAGUUAAAUAGGAGAGUGAUUUAAAAAGUUAAUUUUUCUUAAUGUUUUAUUUUAUUUUAUGUGCUAUCUCUUUUGGAUGAGGCGAGUGGCCUAAUGAAGUUGAAUAAAGGACGUUCUUCUGUGAGAUUGAACCUUACAUCUAAGUGAUGCAGGUUAUUGAAAAGGAUAAUAUCAUUCUUCUAGUUGAAGUAAAAGAAACGGAGGUUCAUCUCCUCGUCAGUUAGCUACAGUUGGCAAGUAGAUUACCAUGAAGGACUUAAAAUUAUGUCGAUAAACCAUUCUAAUUAAAGCAUAAGAACCCCUUAAUUUCAGUUCUCUCUUUUGCAUUAGCGUUUGACAUUCUCUAUAGGAAGUGGAGUUUGUCUUGUAAUUAGCAUUUCGCUUUCAGUGCUGUCAAUGAUGCUCGGUAUUCAGGUCAAAUCUCAUUUAGGACUGACAUUCUCUAUAUAUUUUCUUGUCCUAAAUAUGAACAAAGACCGUCAUUUUAUGGAGGAGUUUGCAACUUUCAUUAAUAACAAUAGUAAACCGUGCAGACGUCCUUCUGUAAAACGUCUAACAAUUAAGCUAUGAAAAAAUGAACAUUAAGCUGAUUGAAUGGAAUGAACAGACAAGCAAAUAAUACAUUCCCUCAGAACAACAGUAGAAAGGAUAUGAAUACAAGACAAUAGUGAAAAUCAAGAACACAACAUUGACAUUUAACAACAAAUGCGAAACAAUCUCGCAACAAUAUUAGAGCUACAUCUUACAUAUAGGACGGAUGAAUAAAUCACAAACCCUAAAUUAAUACAAACCAAUUAAUGCAAUUGACUUCCUUGUUGAUGAAGAACAAUAUAAACAAGAAGAAAGAAAAAGAAAAGAUGAAAAAGUCAUAAUACGUGCAAAUGUCUUUGAUCAAACUAUUUAGGAGAUAAGACGUGAGUGCAUUAGCUCCAGAUUAAGUUUUCUCAUAUACAAAAGGCUAGCUGAUUCCUUUGUAGAUAUCUACAUUCUAAAUUUCCAAAUGUAAUUUGGAUAGACCAUUUCUUGAAGCAAUCAAAUGCUUUAAUUUGUUCUUCUUAUUUUAAAAGAGUAUGUCA